This 49641-nucleotide long non-coding RNA is filed under the name Triticum aestivum (bread wheat). Its description in RNAcentral is "long non-coding RNA (TAES_LNC024615)". Lineage: Eukaryota; Viridiplantae; Streptophyta; Magnoliopsida; Poales; Poaceae. The record is from RNAcentral.
UUUUCAGAUUGUGCCUCGCGAUCUGCUCCGGUGUACCCUUGUCGAUGACUGCCCAGUUCCUCCUAAGUACACAGACAAGCCCACAUAAGGGCGUGUUUGGUUGCGUGCCUAUGGCCCGCGCGGGAAGAAAGAGGCCCGUUUGGUUGCUUGCGUUUACUGUGCGGCCUGCAUGGCACGAACCUUAAAGCACCUCUAGGCCAGGCCCAGGGAAAACGUCCGAAUCAACAGUAGCUCGCGAGCCUGGCUCGAGCGACGCAGGGGAGGGCGACGCGCUUCUCUCCUCAUGCAACCAGGGGGAUGGCGCAAGCUUGCCCGCGUCGUCGAAAAAUCGGCGGAAGGAUUUCGGCUCACCUCCCGCCGAGUCCGCCCCUAUUUAGCCUUCUCCCUCACCGCCCAAACUCCCGCCACCAUUCUCCCGCCACUAUUCUCCCCCAUGUCAAGCUUUCCCACCGACGCGCAUCGGCACCGACAAGCAGAUAAGCAGCGCAUAUUCAUUGGCCGGUGGUCCACGGCGUCGGCGGUCCUUCAUUGGCCGGCGGUGAUCUUCUACGACCGUUCCCCCCUCGUCCUCGGGCUACAGCCAUGGCCUCUGUGUCCCCCUUUCUCUCUGUUCCUUCUAGCUAGAUCUGAGCUACAGCUAGGGUUUGAUGUAGAUGCAUGGUUGAUUAGUGCUCUGAUCUAUGAGCUCAUAUGGUUGAUUGUUAUGUUGCGGUUGCAAUUUGUCGUAGGGUUAGAUGUUCAAGCAUGUGGUAGGCUAGAUGAGUAGUAGAGUUUGAAGUUGAACCUUGUGCUUGUGUUGAUUCGUGCUUAGAUCUGUGAUUUAUAGAUAUUGGUGGUCCAUUUGUAGCAUGUUGUUUGUUGUAGAUAUAUGUUCCUGCUCAUAGAUUAUCCAGUAUGCUUAGUAUGAUAGCGAUGAACCAUAUGCUUAGUAUGAUAGUGAUGAAGCAUGUGCUUGGUAUGAUAGUGAUGAACCAUGUACAUGUAUGCUCCUGCUUUCAUGGAUUGUCCGAUAUGGUGUGUGCUAUGCUUAUUGUCAAUGCAUGCUACGAUUGUAGGACAUGACCACGCAGAUGCAAGAUCUUAAUCAGGCCCUUGUCCUGUCCAACAGCCAGUUUGCUCCAUCGUGUCGAGGACUCGCAGCCUAUGUCCAAGAUGGCACCUAAUUCAGAGGUGUUCGCGUCUGAUUCUGUCUAUGUGUCAGUAGUGCUUGUUGAGCAAACUCCUGCUGCACUCAAGGUAGCAACAUCAAAGGAAAGGAUGGUAGGUUGAACAACAUGAAGUAGAAGUUGUUCAUGUCCAUGUUCGUGCUGAACAAGAUGUGUGAUCCUAUCUCUAGUGGAGUUAGGACUGGCAAGGGCUUCAAGGAGAUGCACUUGAACACUGUUGCGAAGCAGGUGUUCGAGUUCUGUGGGUAGGAGGUGUCCGCCACCCAGGUGUACAACCACCUGAGGAAGUGGGGAGGUCGAUGGAUCCAAGUGUCCAAGCUGAGAGACCUUAGCGACGCCUCAUGGGAUGAGAACACUUGCUCCAUAGUUCUGGAGGCAGAGCACAACGUCGGCCAUGUUGCGGUUAGCUCACAUCCAUCUUCCUUUUCAUAUUGUCCAUCAUUGCCUACUCCUAAUCGCAACUAACAACACUUGUGUUUCAUUCUUAGGACCACCCAAGGGACGCUGAGUUUCUCAACACACCCAUACAGAACUAUAGCCAGAUGCAGCACAUCUUCUCCUUCGGGCUGGCAACUGGGAAGCAUGCCAUGGGCUCGGGGGAGCCUCUUGGUUCUCCCAUGCCAGACUUUCCUGGGACCCCGAACGUCGAGGUCCUUGAUGUCCCUGACAAGCCCUUUGACCCUGUCCAUGAUAGGAAGAAGAAUAAAGGAGGCCUGGUGGAGGAGGAGAUCAAUGUCUUUUGCAGCAUGACUGGGGCGAUGGAGGAGGUGGCAACAGCCAUCAGGGAGUGCAAACCCCUCGACAUCCACCCUGACAUGUAUGGCGCUGUCAUGACCCAGGGUGGCUUCAGCGACGAGGCUCUCAUGGUAGCUCUCAGCCACCUGCUUGACAACAAGGCCCAGGGUGUUGGGUUCGUUGCCAUGGCAGACGAUCACAGGGUGUUGUCUCAGGAGCUGGCUGGGCAAGCACUACUACUAGAGUAGUGUUGCCUGUGAGCGUGCAUGAUCCCCGAUGGUGAUGGCGAUGGCGGUGGCGACAACGACGGCGAUGACGGUGGCGACGUACAUUUUGUGUAUCUAGGGCUGGAAAACUAUUUGAUGGUUUGUAUAUUUUGGUGAGGUCGUAUAUACUAACCCCUCACGUUGAUGGUGAACUUACGGUGGUAGGACGACACCCUCUUUUGGAUGUGGUGGUACGAUAACACCAUGGUAGUGCUAGGUAAAACUUGUUAUGCCGUAUGAUCAUGUAUACUUUACUUCUUCUUUUCUGCUCCAUUGUUGUUUGUGUGCUACUUGUGUGCUUCAUUGACUUGCUGCUUCAACUCUUACUCUUGUGCAUUGCUAGGGCAAGUGGUAUACCGUGUUCAUCGGUAAGGCUCCAGGGGUUUACAGUUCAUGGGAAGAAGCCAGUGCACAAGUGGCAUCAUAUAGCAACAGCAGUCAUAGAGGGUUCAAGACUAGACAGGCAGCAAAACAAGUUUACUCCAACUGGGUGCGAAAGCACGGAGGCAGCUAUGUGGCAAGGUUGGAGGUGUCAAAGUGGAAGGUGCUAAGGUGGAUCGUCAGUUUGGGCUGAAUCUGAAGAACUUCAUUAUCUUCGCCCACUUCAUCGCCAUUGUUGUGGUGUGGUGUUGGUAUGAUAGGUGUGAUCAUUGUGGGUAAGCUCACCAACUAAGGUACAAGGUAAGCACAUCAUGUACGUCGUAUGCAACCAAACACCGUGUUCAUAUGCCGCUUGGAGCCAAUACAGGCAACCAAACAAAGUGCACUUGCAUACUACCUAAUGCAGGGACCCUAAAUACAGGCAACCAAACAACUUGCAGAUGACGCAUUUGAGGCUGAUUUUGCUCAACCAGAUUAGGUUGAGAUGUAUAUACAAUGCAGCUACUGUUUACUACUACAACCAAACACGCCCUAACUAUCUCAUUACAACAAUGCUAAAAAGUUGAGCGAGAGAGGGACAAUAAAUACCUUCCAGUGGGGGUGCGGGUGUGCGUCGGAGGGCUCAAGAUGGUCGGCGACGAAGGUUGGACGACAUGAAGGCCAUCAUACAAUGGGAGAGAGAAAUGGGGCCAGGGAGGAGGUGGGGUGUCCGCGCUGCUAUUGCUAGGAGCUAUGGUGUGCCUCGAGGCAUGAAGGGGCCAGUGUGUAUGUACGUGUUGGUUGGACAGGCACAGAUAGUGGUGCUCGGUCUAGGCUAGCUGAAAAACGGCAAUGUGGAUGGCAGAAGAAGGAUGCCUGAGGUUACUAGGUGUCGCUUUGUCUCGGCUAGCUGGAUGACGUGUCAGACGGCAGGUUAUAUUUCUUUCUUUCUUGAUGCUUGAAUAUGGAUGUGCAUCCUCUGUUUCAUACAUGCUCUCUUGCAUUCAGUGUGGUGCCCUGUGACCACAUACAUGCAUGGUGGUGUACUCACGUCCCAAUCAAUGGAAUCACACACAUCUGGAAUGCACCGUUUUGCUGAGUACCUCUCAUCGGGCACUCAAAAAAGUUGUCCACGUGGUGAAAAGAAAACGAAAUUGCUAAUUUUCAUGCGGAUAAAAAUAAUUGGCUUUCAUCCGUUUUUUGCGCCGUGCGAUUCUGUCACAAGAUCCGUGCUUUUAUUCCAUCCUUUUUGUCAUUGAGUUUCUUAUCGGGCCCGCUUCAAUUUUCCACCUGACCCGUUAGGCCGCUAUUCCACGUUGGUCUCUCUCUGUUGCUUCCCCUCCUCGUUUCCUCUGUCAUUUCGAACACGCAGACCGAAACAGAGGCGAGUGAGAGAUAGCCAUGGCGAUUUUGAGCUCCCCCUCGCCACUCGAUCCAGUUGGUUGGUGGUGACUCGUCGGCGCUCUCCCUCCUGCUGCAUUGCUCUCUCCUCCUCCCGCCGGAGAUCUGCUGCAUCUGCCGGCCCCCGCAGGCCCACACCCACCCCGGCCGCCUUAUUUCGCCGCCCGUCAAUCCUGUUCGUCUGAUUCGGUAUUUUCUCUCGCUUUUUGUUUUGUUCCUCAGUUCUGUAUGUUUGUGCGUAGGGUUUUCUUCGUCAGAUAUGUUGCUUGUGUUAAUCUCCCGCAGCCUCUGGUGUAGAUGUGUGAGGUUUGCGCCGUUUCUGUGAUUGAAACUUGUCUGCCAUGCGAAUUCAGUCCCUUGGUCAGAUCUGUUGCUUGUGUUUAGGGUUUUUUGGUUGCUUGUUUGUUUGAUUGAUCUGUAUCUGGUUAUUGAAUUUCGGCUGGUUGUUUGAAUAGGUUGGCUCGUUUAGUUCUUGGUAUGUGGUAAUUGGUAUUGAGCAAUUCGAACAUACUGGAUCGUGUUCAAUCCCCUGCUCUUCAGUGUUGUUAGUUAGUGGAUCCAUGUGUUAUUUUCCCCUGGGCCGUUUUGUUGUCCCUGAGUGGAUGUAGGGUUGGUUCCCUGGUCGAAUUGUUGGAAUUUUGCUAGUAGGUCUUUGAUCCAAAGCCCAACUAAAAUUCUGAAAUUCUUUUGGCUCAUUCAUGCACACAUGUGAGUGAAGUGAGUGAGACUAAAGUUUAGUCCCACCCCGGAAGUUGAGAGAGAGUUGCACCUCUUUAUAAGGUGAGCUCUUCUACCACUUGUAUGAGCAUGAGAAGAGGAGACCUACACGCCACGCCACGCCUCGCCUCGCCUCGUCACGACGCGCCGCGGGUUGCGGGAUUGAGCCGAGGACAGAGCUAUGCACGUUGUCUAUAUUUUUGCUGCAUGGGAAAAUUAAUGAGUCAUUAAUUAAUAAUUAAUGGACGCGUUAAUUACUGAACCGUUUCGGACGUGGGGUUUACUCCCACGACCUACCCGGCCCGCACUAUAUAGUCAGGCAGACGUUUACCUUAGCCGCCGCCGCUUCGUAUGGUUUCUCACCACCGUUCCAGAUCAUUGCGCCGCCAAGCAAGUCUUCUCCAUCCCUCCUUCCGGCGUGCACCGCGAGAAGGGACAGCAGGCCCUCCGGAACCCCACCUCUCGUGAUCCUGUACGGGAGAGGGGCGAUCAGGUUUUUAGAGAGCGCACUCGCGCGCCUGCUGGCAGCGAUGACUUCGCGAACGACGACUUCUUCCCCGACCUCGGCAACCUCGUCCUUGACGACAUGGGCGACAACGUCAAUGCCGGCGGUGGUGCACCCGCUGCACCGUAUGUGAUUCUAUCCUUCCUGUUCGAGAUCAUGAUAGAAUUCAUGCUUCUAGUAUGUGCCCUAGAUGUGAUAUGUUCAUCUGCUAUGCUAGUUCGCAUGAUUAGUUUAAUCUCUGCUGUUGUGGUCAUGAUUUAUCUUCUGUUUAUUCGGAUUAAAUCUCGUAGUAAUUUGCUCAUAUUUCCAACAAUCCAAAAACCUGAUUAUAGGCAAUUUACUCCGAGUGGUUUUGCUGCGCAUCUGAAGCCGCCUGCCUUUAAGGGGGCGCAAUAUAAGAGGUGGCGCACGAGAGCAGUCUACUGGUUUCAGACCAUGGGCUGCUAUGAUGCCACCAAGGGCAAGCCUGAGGGCGAUCUUAAUCCAGCACAGCUGGAAGCUUUUGAGAAGAUCGAUACCCUCUUUAAAGGCGCUCUUCUGAGUGUUCUUGAUGACUCCAUUGUGGAUUCGUAUAUGUCGUUUAACAACGGCAAGGACAUGUGGGCUGCGCUCGAGGCCAAGUUUGGUGCCUCGGACGCCGGCAGCGAGUUGUACGUCAUGGAGCAAUUCUAUGAUUACAAGAUGACUGAUGAGCGCCCUGUUGUACAGCAGGCUCAUGAGAUACAGUCGCUCGCAAAAGAACUUGAGUACUUCAAGUGUGUGUUGCCGGACAAAUUUGCUGCCGGAGGCAUUAUUGCCAAGCUUCCACCUUCGUGGAACAAUUUUGCUACUUCCCUGAAACACAAGAGACAGGAGUUUUCCGUUGCGGAUCUCAUUGGUACUCUUGAUGUUGAAGAAAAGGCGAGAGCAAAGGACACACGUGCUCGAGUUGCUGAGGGAGGUUCUAGUGCCCACAUGGUACAGAAGAAGAACUCCCAGCCCAACAAGUUCAAAAACAAUAAGAACAAAACUCAGGGCAAAGGCAAGUUUGAUACAAAGAACAAGCCAUCACAUUCUACCAACUUCAAGAAGAAUUCUCAUAAGAAGGGGAAGGGACUUUGCCAUGUCUGCGGUGAUCCUAAUCACUGGGCUUCGAAGUGUCCUAACCGCUUUGAGGAGCGUGAACAUGAGAAGAGCGGCAAGUCCGCUAAUGUUGUCAUCGGUGAUACUGAUAUGAAGGAAUCAGGGUACGGUAUUUUUCCUACCAUCCUUUCAGUAUUUCAAUCCCCUGAUUGGUUAAUUGACACCGGUGCCAAUGUACAUGUUUGUGCUGACGCCUCCAUGUUUUCUUCUUACCAGGCAAUAGGGACUUCACCCGUGCUGAUGGGGAACGGGUCACAUGCCAUCGUUCGAUGUGUUGGUACGGUCGAUCUGAAGUUUACUUCGGGGAAGACUGUGCGUCUGAAGAAUGUUCAUCAUGUGUCGUCCAUCAAUAAAAAUCUCGUUAGCGGUUCCCGUUUAUGUCGAGAUGGUUUUAAGUUGGCUUUCGAAUCCAAUAAAGUUAUAAUUUCUAAGUGUGGACAAUUUGUUGGAAAAGGCUAUGAGUGCGGAGGCUUGUUCCGCCUAUCUUUGUCAGAUAUUUGCAUUAAAGUUAUUAAUAAUGUUUGCCACAAUAAUGAGUCUGAUAUUUGGCAUUCACGACUCUGUCAUAUUAACUUUGGUUGCAUGACGCGGUUAGCCAAUAUGAAUUUAAUUCCGAAAAUCUCUACUGUCAAAGGCUCCAAGUGCCAAGUAUGUGUGCAAGCUAAGCAACCUCGCAAGUCCCAUAAGACAGCAGAGGCAACAGACUUGGCGCCACUAGAGCUUAUACAUUCUGAUCUUUGUGAGAUGAAUGGCGUGUUGACAAAAGAUGGAAAGAGAUACUUCAUGACGUUGAUUGAUGACUCCACUAGAUAUUGUUAUGUGUAUCUUCUGAAAUCAAAAGAUGAGGCUUUGACUUUCUUUAAAAACUAUAAAGCUGAGGCAGAGAACCAACUUGAUCGAAAAAUUAAACGGCUUAGGUCCGAUCGUGGUGGAGAGUAUUUUUCCAAUGAAUUUGAUCUUUUUGUGCGGAACAUGGUAUAAUCCAUGAGAGGACGCCUCCCUACUCACCCCAGUCAAAUGGGGUAGCCAAAAGAAAGAACCGAACUCUAACUGAUAUGGUUAACACCAUGUUAGACACUUCGGGUCUAUCCAAGAAAUGGUGGGGGGGCGCUAAUGACUGUGUGUCAUGUCCUAAACCGAGUUCCCACAAAGCAUAAGACCAUGACUCCAUUUGAGGAAUGGGAAAGGAAAAGGUUGAAACUCUCUUACCUACGUACUUGGGGUUGUUUGGUGAAAGUCAAUAUACCAAUUCUCAAGAAGCGCAAGCUUGGACCAAAAACCGUGGAUUAUGUUCUUCUGGGCUAUGCUUUUCAUAGCAUCGGCUAUAGAUUUUUGAUAAUAAAAUCUGAGGUAUCCGACAUGCAUGUUGGUACGAUUAUGGAAUCAAAUGAUGCAACUUUCUUUGAGGACAUAUUUCCUAUGAAGGAUAUGUCGAGUUCAUCAAAUCAGGAGAUACCUACUCCAUCUAGUGAGGAAUUCACUGUAAUUCCUGAACCCACCAUUGUGAUGGAACACGUUGAGAAUCCUGUUGAGGGUAACAAUGGAACUCCUAUGAGGAGUAAGAGACAGAGGACUGCAAAGUCUUUUGGUGAUGAUUUCAUUGUGUACCUCGUGGAUGACACACCCAGGACUAUUUCAGAAGCCUAUGCAUCUCCUGAUGCUGACUACUGGAAGGAAGUUGUACCUAGCGAGAUGGAUUCCAUCUUAGCUAACGUUACCUGGGAGAUCACUGACCGUCCUUAUGGAUGCAAACCUGUAGGAUGUAAGUGGGUGUUCAAGAAGAAGCUUAGACUUGAUGGUACGAUUGAAAAGUACAGGGCACGACUUGUGGCCAAGGGUUAUACCCAGAAAGAAGGUGAAGACUUCUUUGAUACUUACUCACCCGUGGCUAGACUGACCACAAUUCGGGUGCUACUAUCAUUAGCUGCCUCACAUGGUCUUCUCGUUCAUCAAAUGGACGUUAAGACGGCUUUCCUCAAUGGAGAGUUGAAGGAGGAAAUUUACAUGCAUCAGCCAGAUGGUUUUGUAGUACCUGGUCAAGAAGGAAAGGUGUGCAAAUUAUUAAAGUCUUUAUAUGGCCUUAAACAAGCUCCUAAGGAGUGGCAUGAGAAGUUCGAAAGAACAUUAACUGCUGCCGGCUUUGUAGUAAACAAUGGUGACAAGUGUGUGUACUAUCGCUAUGGUGGGGGAGAAGGAGUUAUUCUUUGUCUGUAUGUCGACGACAUAUUGAUCUUUGGAACCAAACUUGAUUUAAUCAAGGAGGUUAAGGAUUUCUUAUCUUGCUAUUUUGAGAUGAAGGAUCAAGGAGUAGUUGAUGUUAUCUUAAACAUCAAGCUGUUGAGAGAUGAGAAUGGUGGGAUCACACUGUUUCAGUCUCAUUAUGUGGAAAAGGACUUGAGUCGUUUUGGGUAUAGCGACUGCACGCCUUCUCCAACUCCAUAUGAUGCUAGUGUGUUGCUUCGAAAGAAUCGACGGAUUGCUAGAGAUCAACUGAGGUAUUCUCAUAUUAUUGGCUCGCUUAUGUAUUUGGCGAGUGCCACGAGGCCUGACAUCUCUUUUGCUGUGAGCAAGCUGAGUCGGUUUGUGUCAAAACCGGGAGAUGAUCAUUGGCAUGCGCUUGAGAGAGUUAUGCGCUAUUUGAAAGGCACCACGAGCUAUGGGAUUCACUACACCGGGUAUCCAAGGGUACUGGAGGGUUAUAGUGACUCAAACUGGAUAUCUGAUGCUGAUGAGAUUAAGGCCACAAGUGGUUAUGUUUUUACACUUGGUGGUGGCGCUGUUUCCUGGAAGUCUUGCAAGCAGACCAUCUUAACAAGGUCAACUAUGGAAGCAGAACUCAUAGCAUUAGACACUGCCACUGUUGAAGCAGAGUGGCUUCGUGAACUCUUGAUGGACUUACGUAUGGUUGAAAAACCAAUACCCCCUAUCCUGAUGAACUGUGAUAAUCAAACUGUGAUCGUCAAGAUAAACAGUUCUAAGGACAAUAUGAAGUCCUCAAGGCAUGUGAAGAGGAGACUAAAAUCUGUCAGAAAAUUGAGGAACUCCGGAGUUAUUACGUUGGAUUAUAUCCAAACGUCGAAAAACUUGGCAGAUCCCUUCACAAAGGGUCUAUCACGUAAUGUGAUAGAUAAUGCAUCGAUGGAGAUGGGUUUGAGACCCACCGCAUGAGUUGCCCAUAGUGGUAAACCACUCUAUGUGAUCGGAGAUCCCGUGAAGUAGAAGUGGGAGACAAGCUGUUGGUCAGCUGGGAGGAGAGUAUCCCUAUAUUAAUUAUCCCACUCCGUGAAGAUGCAAUACUCUCCUGAUCUGCAUGGCAGGUUGAUACUUAUCUUAAUGUGUUCCAAGUGGCUUAUUCGGGUAAGCAGAGAUGUUGUCCUGCAGAACAUCUUCUGAGGAACACACCUAUAUGAAUUUGAUUGUUAACGUCGCAGUCUGUGAGAAUUGGGUGUUCUCUAUUAAAUUCAUGAAAGGCCCUGGAGUAUGACGUAUACGCUCCACCCGCGGGGAAGCCUUGCGGCAGCCCAGAUCGGUCAAGAAUUUGUGUGAAACUAGUUUCACAGAAAACUUGUAGUUCAAGGCAUAGUCCACUAUUCAAGUUAUGAUCUAGUGUAGCAUAAAUUUCUCAGUGGAAGUUCAACUUCACAGUCUCCACUAAGCACCGAUAUAUAAAACAAUGUUUUGGAACUAAAUGAUGAGAUGUGCCAAUGAGACUUUGUGGGGGAUUGUUAGAAUUUUGCUAGUAAGCCUUUGGCCCAAAGCCCAACUAAAAUUCUGAAAUUCUCUUGGCCCAUUCAUGCACACGUGUGAGUGGAGUGAGUGAGGCUAAAGUUUAGUCCCACCCCGGAAGUUGAGAGAGAGUUGCACCUCUUUAUAAGGUGAGCUCUUCUACCACUUGUAUGAGCAUGAGAAGAGGAGACCUACACGCGCGCUCCUCCUCCUCGCUCGCCUCGCCACGCCACGCCUCGUCAGGACGCGACGCGCCGCGGGUUGCGGGAUUGAGCUGAGCCGAGGACAGAGCUAUGCACGUUGUCUAUUUUUGCUGCAUGGGAAAACUAAUUAGUCAUUAAUUAAUAAUUAACGGACGCGUUAAUUACUGAACCGUUUCUGAUUCUUUUGGAUCAUGACGACUCGGACGUGGGGUUUACUCCCACGACCUACCCGGCCCCCACUAUAUAGUCAGGCAGACGUCUACCUUAGCCGCCGCCGCUUCGUAUGAUUUCUCACCACCGUUCUAGAUCAUUGCGCCGCCAAGCAAGUCUUCUCCAUCCCUCCUUCCGGCGUGCACCGCGAGAAGGGACAGCAGGCCUCCGGAACCCCGCCUCUCGUGAUCCUAUACGGGAGAGGGGCGAUUAGGUUUUUGGGGAGAGCACUCGCGCGACUGCUGGCAGCGACGACUUCGCGAACGACGAAUUCUUCCCCGACCUUGGCAACCUUGUCCUCGACGACAUGGGCGACAACGUCAACGCCGGCGGUGCUGCACCCGCUGCACCGUAUGUGAUUCUAUCCUUCCUGUUCGAGAUCAUGGUAGAAUUCAUGCUUCUAGUAUGUGCCCUAGAUAUGAUAUGUUCAUCUGCUAUGCUAGUUCACAUGAUUAGUUUAAUCUCUACUGCUGUGGUCAUGAUUUAUCUUCUGUUUAUUCGGAUUAAAUCUCGUAGUAAUUUGCUCAUAUUUCCAACAAUCCUAAAACCUGAUUAUAGGCAAUUUACUUCGAGUGGUUUUGUUGUGCAUCUGAAGCUGCCUGCCUUUAAGGGGCGCAAUAUAAGAGGUGGCGCACGAGAGCAGUCUACCAGUUUUAGACCAUGGGCUGCUAUGAUGCCACCAAGGGAAAGCCUGAGGGCGAUCUUAAUCCAGCACAGCUGGAAGCUUUUGAGAAGAUCGAUACCCUCUUUAAAGGCGCUCUUCUGAGUGUUCUUGAUGACUCCAUUGUGGAUUCGUAUAUGUCGUUUGACAACCGCAAGGACAUGUGGGCUGCGCUCCAGGCCAAGUUUGGUGCCUCGAACGCCGGCAGCGAGUUGUACGUCAUAGAGCAAUUCUAUGACUACAAGAUGAUUGAUGAGCGCCCUGUUGUACAGCAGGCUCAUGAGAUACAGUCGCUCGCAAAAGAACUUGAGUACUUCAAGUGUGUGUUGCCGGACAAAUUUGUUGCCGGAGGCAUCAUUGCCAAGCUUCCACCUUCGUGGAACAAUUUUGCUACUUCCCUGAAACACAAGAGACAGGAGUUUUCCGUUGCGGAUCUCAUUGGUACUCUUGAUGUUGAAGAGAAGGCGAGAGCAAAGGACACACGUGCUCGAGUUGCUGAGGGAGGUUCUAGUGCCCACAUGGUACAGAAGAAGAACUCCCAGCCCAACAAGUUCAAAAACAAUAAGAACAAAACUCAGGGCAAAGGCAAGUUUGAUACAAAGAACAAGCCAUCACAUUCUACCAACUUCAAGAAGAAUUCUCAUAAGAAGGGGAAGGGACUUUGCCAUGUCUGCGGUGAUCCUAAUCACUGGGCUUCGAAGUGUCCUAACCGUUUUGAGGAGCGCGAACAUGAGAAGAGCGACAAGUCCGCUAAUGUUGUCAUCGGUGAUACUGAUAUGAAGGAACCAGGGUACGGUAUUUUUCCUACCAUCCUUUCAGUAUUUCAAUCCCCUGAUUGGUUAAUUGACACCAGUGCCAAUGUACAUGUUUGUGCUGACGCCUCCAUGUUUUCUUCUUACCAGGCAACAGGGACUUCACCCGUGCUGAUGGGGAACGGGUCACAUGCCAUCGUUCGAGGUGUUGGUACGGUCGAUCUGAAGUUUACUUCGGGGAAGACUGUGCGUCUGAAGAACGUUCAUCAUGUGCCGUCCAUUAAUAAAAAUCUCGUUAGCGGUUCCCGUUUAUGUCGAGAUGGUUUUAAGUUGGUUUUCGAAUCCAAUAAAGUUGUAAUUUUUAAGUGUGGACAAUUUUUUGGAAAAGGCUAUGAGUGCGGAGGCUUGUUCCGCCUAUCUUUGUCAGAUAUUUGCAUUAAACUUAUUAAUAAUGUUUGCCACAAUAAUGAGUCUGAUAUUUGGCAUUCACGACUCUGUCAUAUUAACUUUGGUUGCAUGACGCGGUUAGCCAAUAUGAAUUUAACUCCGAAAAUCUCUACUGUCAAAGGCUCCAAGUGCCAAGUAUGUGUGCAAGCUAAGCAACCUCGCAAGUCCCAUAAGACAGCAGAGGCAAGAGACUUGGUGCCACUAGAGCUUAUACAUUCUGAUCUUUGUGAGAUGAAUGGCGUGUUGACAAAAGGUGGAAAGAGAUACUUCAUGACGUUGAUUGAUGACUCCACUAGAUAUUGUUAUGUGUAUCUUCUGAAAUCAAAAGAUGAGGCUCUGACUUUCUUUAAAAACUAUAAAGCUGAGGCAGAGAACCAACUUGAUCGAAAAAUUAAACGGCUUAGGUCCGGUCGUGGUGGAGAGUAUUUUUCCAAUGAAUUUGAUUUGUUUUGUGCGGAACAUGGUAUAAUCCAUGAGAGGAUGCCUCCCUACUCACCCAAGUCAAAUGGGGUAGCCGAAAGAAAGAACCGAACUCUAACUGAUAUGGUUAACACCAUGUUAGACACUUCGGGUCUAUCCAAGGAAUGGUGGGGGGGGGCUAAUGACUGUGUGUCAUGUCCUAAACCGAGUUCCCACAAAGCAUAAGACCAUGACUCCAUUUGAGGAAUGGGAAAGGAAAAGGUUGAAACUCUCUUACCUACGUACUUGGGGUUGUUUGGCGAAAGUCAAUAUACCAAUUCCCAAGAAGCGCAAGCUUGGACCAAAAACCGUGGAUUGUGUUCUUCUGGGCUAUGCUUUUCAUAGCAUCGGCUAUAGAUUUUUGAUAAUAAAAUCUGAGGUAUCCGACAUGCAUGUUGGUACGAUUAUGGAAUCAAAUGAUGCAACUUUCUUUGAGGACAUAUUUCCUAUGAAGGAUAUGUCGAGUUCAUCAAAUCAGGAAAUACCUACUCCAUCUAGUGAGGAAUUCACUGUAAUUCCUGAACCCGCCAUUGCGAUGGAACACGUUGAGAAUCCUGUUGAGGGUAACAAUGGAACUCCUAUGAGGAGUAAGAGACAGAGGACUGCAAAGUCUUUUGGUGAUGAUUUCAUUGUGUACCUCGUGGAUGACACACCCAGGACUAUUUCAGAAGCCUAUGCAUCUCCUGAUGCUGACUACUGGAAGGAAGUUGUACGUAGCGAGAUGGAUUCCAUCUUAGCUAACGGUUCCUGGGAGAUCACUGACCGUCCUUAUGGGUGCAAACCUGUAGGAUGUAAGUGCGUGUUCAAGAAGAAGCUUAGACCUGAUGGUACGAUUGAAAAGUACAAGGCACGACUUGUGGCCAAGGGUUAUACCCAGAAAGAAGGUGAAGACUUCUUUGAUACUUACUCACCCAUGGCUAGACUGACCACAAUUCGGGUGCUACUAUCAUUGGCUGCCUCACAUGGUCUUCUCGUUCAUCAAAUGGACGUUAAGACGGCUUUCCUCAAUGGAGAGUUGAAGGAGGAAAUUUACAUGGAUCAGCCAGAUGGUUUUGUAGUACCUGGUCAAGAAGGAAAGGUGUGCAAGUUAUUAAAGUCUUUAUAUGGCCUUAAACAAGCUCCUAAGGAGUGGCAUGAGAAGUUCGAAAGAACAUUAACUGCUGACGGCUUUGUAGUAAACGAUGGUGACAAGUGCGUGUACUAUCGCUAUGGUGGGGGCGAAGGAGUUAUUCUUUGUCUGUAUGUUGACGACAUAUUGAUCUUUGGAACCAAACUUGAUUUAAUCAAGGAGGUUAAGGAUUUCUUAUCUCGCUGUUUUGAGAUGAAGGAUCUAGGAGUAGUUGAUGUUAUCUUAAACAUCAAGCUGUUGAGAGAUGAGAAUGGUGGGAUCACACUGCUUCAGUCUCAUUAUGUGAAAAAGGUCUUGAGUCGUUUUGGGUAUAGCGACUGCACGCCUUCUCCAACUCCAUAUGAUUCCAGUGUGUUGCUUCGAAAGAAUCGACGGAUUGCUAGAGAUCAACUGAGGUAUUCUCAUAUUAUUGGCUCGCUUAUGUAUUUGGCGAGUGCCACGAGGCCUGACAUCUCUUUUGCUGUGAGCAAGCUGAGUCGGUUUGUGUCAAAACCGGGAGAUGAUCAUUGGCAUGCACUUGAGAGAGUUAUGUGCUAUUUGAAAGGCACCGCGAGCUAUGGGAUUCACUACACCGGGUAUCCAAGGGUACUGGAGGGUUAUAGUGACUCAAACUGGAUAUCUGAUGCUGAUGAGAUUAAGGCCACAAGUGGUUAUGUUUUUACACUUGGUGGUGGUGCUGUUUCCUGGAAGUCUUGCAAGCAGACCAUCUUAAUGAGGUCAACUAUGGAAGCAGAACUCACAGCAUUAGACACUGCCAUUGUUGAAGCAGAGUGGCUUCGUGAACUCUUGAUGGACUUACCUAUGGUUGAAAAACCAAUACCCCCUAUCCUGAUGAACUGUGAUAAUCAAACUGUGAUCGUCAAGAUAAACAGUUCUAAGAACAGUAUGAAGUCCUCAAGGCAUGUGAAGAGGAGACUAAAAUCUGUCAGAAAAUUGAGGAACUCCGGAGUUAUUACGUUGGAUUAUAUCCAAACGUCGAAAAACUUGGCAGAUCCCUUCACAAAGGGUCUAUCACGUAAUGUGAUAGAUAAUGCAUCGAUGGAGAUGGGUUUGAGACCCACCGCAUGAGUUGUCCAUAGUGGUAAACCACUCUAUGUGAUCGGAGAUCCCCUGAAGUAGAAGUGGGAGACAAGCUGUUGGUCAGCUGGGAGGAGAGUAUCCCUAUAUUAUUUAUCCCACUCCGUGAAGAUGCAAUACUCUCCUGAUCUGCAUGGCAGGUUGAUACUUAUCUUAAUGUGUUCCAAGUGGCUUAUUCGGGUAAGCAGAGAUGUUUUCCUGCAGAACAUCUUCUGAGGAACACACCUAUAUGAAUUUGACUGUUAACGUCGCAGUCUGUGAGAAUUGGGUGUUCUCUAAUAAAUUCAUGAAAGGCCCUGGAGUAUGACGUAUACGCUCCACCCGCGGGGAAGCCUUGCGGCAGCCCAGUAUCGGUCAAGAAUUUGUGUGAAACUAGUUUUACAGAAAACUUGUAGUUCAAGGCAUAGUCCACUAUUCAAGUUGUGAUCUAGUGUAGCAUAAAUUUCUAAGUGGAAGUUCAACUUCACAGUCUCCACUAAGCACCGAUAUAUAAAACAAUGUUUUGGAACUAAAUGAUGAGAUGUGCCAAUGAGACUUUGUGGGGGAUUGUUGGAAUUUUGCUAGUAGGCCUUUGGCCCAAAGCCCAACUAAAAUUCUGAAAUUCUCUUGGCCCAUUCAUGACCACGUGUGAGUGGAGUGAGUGAGGCUAAAGUUUAGUCCCACCCCGGAAGUUGAGAGAGAGUUGCACCUCUUUAUAAGGUGAGCUCUUCUACCACUUGUAUGGGCAUGAGAAGAGGAGACCUACACGCGCGCUCCUCCUCCUCGCUCGCCUCGCCACGCCACGCCUCGUCACGACGCGCCGCGGGUUGCGGGAUUGAGCCGAGCCGAGGACAGAGCUUUGCACGUUGUCUAUGUUUUUGCUGCAUGGGAAAAUUAAUGAGUCAUUAAUUAAUAAUUAACGGACGCAUUAAUUACUGAACCGUUUCCGAUUCUUUUGGAUCGUGACGACUCGGACGUGGGGUUUACUCCCACGACCUACCCGGCCCGCACUAUAUAGUCAGGCAGACGUCUACCUUAGCCGCCGCCGCUUCGUAUGGUUUCUCACCACCGUUCCAGAUCAUUGCGCCGCCAAGCAAGUCUUCUCCAUCCCUCCUUCUGGCGUGCACCGCGAGAAGGGACAGCAGGCCUCCGGAACCCCGCCUCUCUUGAUCCUGUACGGGAGAGGGACGAUCAGCUUUUUGGGGAGCGCACUCAUGCGACUGCUCGCAGCGACAACUUCGUGAGCAACGACUUCUUCCCCGACCUUGGCAACCUCGUCCUCGACGACAUGGGCGACAACGUCAACACCGGCGGUGCUGCACCCGCUGCACCGUAUGUGAUUCUAUCCUUCCUGUUCGAGAUCAUGGUAGAUUCAUGCUUCUAGUAUGUGCCCUAGAUGUGAUAUGUUCAUCUGCUAUGCUAGUUCGCAUGAUUAGUUUAAUCUCUGCUACUGUGGUCAUGAUUUAUCUUCUGUUUAUUCGGAUUAAAUCUCGUAGUAACUUGCUCAUAUUUCCAACAAUCCAAAAACCUGAUUAUAGGCAAUUUACUCCAAGUGCUUUUGCUGCGCAUCUGAAGCCGCCUGCCUUUAAGGGGGCGCAAUAUAAGAGGUGGCGCACGAGAGCAGUCUACCGGUUUCAGACCAUGGGCUGCUAUGAUGCCACCAAGGGAAAGCCUGAGGGCGAUCUUAAUCCAGCACAGCUGGAAGCUUUUGAGAAGAUCGAUACCCUCUUUAAAGGCGCUCUUCUGAGUGUUCUUGAUGACCCCAUUGUGGAUUCGUAUAUGUCGUUUGACAACGGCAAGGACAUGUGGGCUGCGCUCGAGGCCAAGUUUGGUGCCUCGGACGCCAGCAGCGAGUUGUACGUCAUGGAGCAAUUCUAUGACUACAAGAUGACUGAUGAGCGCCCUGUUGUACAGCAGGCUCAUGAGAUACAGUCACUCGCAAAAGAACUUGAGUACUUCAAGUGUGUGUUGCCGGACAAAUUUGUUGCCGGAGGCAUCAUUGCCAAGCUUCCACCUUCAUGGAACAAUUUUGCUACUUCCCUGAAACACAAGAGACAGGAGUUUUCCGUUGCGGAUCUCAUUGGUACUCUUGAUGUUGAAGAGAAGGCGAGAGCAAAGGACACACGUGCUCGAGUUGCUGAGGGAGGUUCUAGUGCCCACAUGGUACAGAAGAAGAACUUCCAGCCCAACAAGUUCAAAAACAAUAAGAAUAAAACUCAGGGCAAAGGCAAGUUUGAUACAAAGAACAAGCCAUCACAUUCUACCAACUUCAAGAAGAAUUCUCAUAAGAAGGGGAAGGGACUUUGCCAUGUCUGUGGUGAUCCUAAUCACUGGGCUCCGAAGUGUCCUAACCGCUUUGAGGAGCGCGAACAUGAGAAGAGCGGCAAGUCCGCUAAUGUUGUCAUCGGUGAUACUGAUAUGAAGGAAUCAGGGUACGGUAUUUUUCCUACCAUCCUUUCAGUAUUUCAAUCCCCUGAUUGGUUAAUUGACACCGGUGCCAAUGUACAUGUUUAUGCUGACGCCUCCAUGUUUUCUUCUUACCAGGCAACAGGGACUUCACCCGUACUGAUGGGGAACGGGUCACAUGCCAUCGUUCGAGGUGUUGGUAUGGUCGAUCUGAAGUUUACUUCGGGGAAGACUGUGCGUCUGAAGAAUGUUCAUCAUGUGUCAUCCAUCAAUAAAAAUCUCGUUAGCGGUUCCCGUUUAUGUCGAGAUGGUUUUAAGUUGGUUUUCAAAUCCAAUAAAGUUAUAAUUUCUAAGUGUGGACAAUUUGUUGGAAAAGGCUAUGAGUGCGGAGGCUUGUUCCGCCUAUCUUUGUCAGAUAUUUGCACUAAAGUUAUUAAUAAUGUUUGCCACAAUAAUGAGUCUGAUAUUUGGCAUUCACGACUCUGUCAUAUUAACUUUGGUUGCAUGACGCGGUUAGCCAAUAUGAAUUUAAUUCCGAAAAUCUCUACUGUCAAAGGCUCCAAGUGCCAAGUAUGUGUGCAAGCUAAGCAACCUCGCAAGUCCCAUAAGACAGCAGAGGCAAGAGACUUGGCGCCACUAGAGCUUAUACAUUCUGAUCUUUGUGAGAUGAAUGGCGUGUUGACAAAAGGUGGAAAGAGAUACUUCAUGACGUUGAUUGAUGACUCCACUAGAUAUUGUUAUGUGUAUCUUCUGAAAUCAAAAGAUGAGGCUUUGACUUUCUUUAAAAACUAUAAAGUUGAGGCAGAGAACCAACUUGAUCGAAAAAUUAAACGGCUUAGGUCCGAUUGUGGUGGAGAGUAUUUUUCCAAUGAAUUUGAUAUGUUUUGUGCGGAACAUGGUAUAAUCCAUGAGAGGACGCCUCCCUACUCACCCCAGUCAAAUGGGGUAGCCGAAAGAAAGAACCGAACUCUAACUGAUAUGGUUAACACCAUGUUAGACACUUCGGGUCUAUCCAAGGAAUGGUGGGGGAGGCAAUAAUGACUGCAUGUCAUGUCCUAAACCGAGUUCCCACAAAGCAUAAGACCAUGACUCCAUUUGAGGAACGGGAAAGGAAAAGGUUGAAACUCUCUUACCUACGUACUUGGGGUUGUUUAGUGAAAGUCAAUAUACCAAUUCCCAAGAAGCACAAGCUUGGACCAAAAACCGUGGAUUGUGUUCUUUUGGGCUAUGCUUUUCAUAGCAUCGGCUAUAGAUUUUUGAUAAUAAAAUCUGAGGUAUCCGACAUGCAUGUUGGUAUGAUUAUGGAAUCAAAUGAUGCAACUUUCUUUGAGGACAUAUUUCCUAUGAAGGAUAUGUCGAGUUCAUCAAAUCAGGAGAUACCUACUCCAUCUAGUGAGGAAUUCACUGUAAUUCCUGAACCCACCAUUGCGAUGGAACACGUUGAGAAUCAUGUUGAGGGUAACAAUGGAACUCCUAUGAGGAGUAAGAGACAGAGGACUGCAAAGUCUUUUGGUGAUGAUUUCAUUGUGUACCUCGUGGAUGACACACCCAGGACUAUUUCAGAAGCCUAUGCAUAUCCUGAUGCUGACUACUGGAAGGAAGCUGUACGUAGCGAGAUGGAUUCCAUCUUAGCUAACGGUACCUGGGAGAUCACUGACCGUCCUUAUGGGUGCAAACCUGUAGGAUGUAAGUGGGUGUUCAAGAAGAAGCUUAGACCUAAUGGUACGAUUGAAAAGUACAAGGCACGACUUGUGGCCAAGGGUUAUACCCAGAAAGAAGGUGAAGACUUCUUUGAUACUUACUCACCCGUGGCUAGACUGACCACAAUUCGGGUGCUACUAUCAUUGGCUACCUCACAUGGUCUUCUCGUUCAUCAAAUGGACGUUAAGACGGCUUUCCUCAAUGGAGAGUUGAAGGAGGAAAUUUACAUGGAUCAGCCAGAUGGUUUUGUAGUACCUGGUCAAGAAGGAAAGGUGUGCAAGUUAUUAAAGUCUUUAUAUGGCCUUAAACAAGCUCCUAAGGAGUGGCAUGAGAAGUUUGAAAGAACAUUAACUGCUGCCGGCUUUGUAGUAAACGAUGGUGACAAGUGCGUGUACUAUCGCUAUGGUGGGGGCGAAGGAGUUAUUCUUUGUCUGUAUGUCGACGACAUAUUGAUCUUUGGAACCAAACUUGAUUUAAUCAAGGAGGUUAAGGAUUUCUUAUCUCGCUGUUUUGAGAUGAAGGAUCUAGGAGUAGUUGAUGUUAUCUUAAACAUCAAGCUGUUGAGAGAUGACAAUGGUGGGAUCACACUGCUUCAGUCUCAUUAUGUGAAAAAGGUCUUGAGUCGUUUUGGGUAUAGCGACUGCACGCCUUCUCCAACUCCAUAUGAUGCUAGUGUGUUGCUUCGAAAGAAUCGACGGAUUGCUAGAGAUCAACUAAGGUAUUCUCAGAUUAUUGGCUCGCUUAUGUAUUUGGCGAGUGCCACGAGGCCUGACAUCUCUUUUGCUUUGUGCAAGCUGAGUCGGUUUGUGUCAAAACCGGGAGAUGAUCAUUGGCAUGCACUUGAGAGAGUUAUGCGCUAUUUGAAAGGCACCGCGAGCUAUGGGAUUCACUACACCGGGUAUCCAAGGGUACUGGAGGGUUAUAGUGACUCAAACUGGAUAUCUGAUGCUGAUGAGAUUAAGGCCACAAGUGGUUAUGUUUUUACACUUGGUGGUGGCGUUGUUUCCUGGAAGUCUUGCAAGCAGACCAUCUUAACGAGGUCAACUAUGGAAGCAGAACUCACAGCAUUAGACACUGCCAUUGUUGAAGCAGAGUGGCUUCGUGAACUCUUGAUGGACUUACCUAUGGUUGAAAAACCAAUACCCCCUAUCCUGAUGAACUGUGAUAAUCAAACUGUGAUCGUCAAGAUAAACAGUUCUAAGGACAAUAUGAAGUCCUCAAGGCAUGUGAAGAGGAGACUAAAAUCUGUCAGAAAAUUGAGGAACUCCGGAGUUAUUACGUUGGAUUAUAUCCAAACAUCGAAAAACUUGGCAGAUCCCUUCACAAAGGGUCUAUCACGUAAUGUGAUAGAUAAUGCAUCGAUGGAGAUGGGUUUGAGACCCACCGCAUGAGUUGUCCAUAGUGGUAAACCACUCUAUGUGAUCGGAGAUCCCGUGAAGUAGAAGUGGGAGUCAAGCUGUUGGUCAGCUGGGAGGAGAGUAUCCCUAUAUUGUUUAUCCCACUCCGUGAAGAUGCAAUACUCUCCUGAUCUGCAUGGCAGGUUGAUACUUAUCUUAAUGUGUUCCAAGUGGCUUAUUCGGGUAAGCAGAGAUGUUGUCCUGCAGAACAUCUUCUGAGGAACACACCUAUAUGAAUUUGAUUGUUAACGUCGCAGUCUGUGAGAAUUGGGUGUUCUCUAAUAAAUUCAUGAAAGGCCCUGGAGUAUGACGUAUACGCUCCACCCGCGGGGAAGCCUUGCGGCAGCCCAGUAUCGGUCAAGAAUUUGUGUGAAUCUAGUUUCACUGAAAACUUGUAGUUCAAGGCAUAGUCCACUAUUCAAGUUGUGAUCUAGUGUAGCAUAAAUUUCUAAGUGGAAGUUCAACUUCACAGUCUCCACUAAGCACCGAUAUAUAAAACAAUGUUUUGGAACUAAAUGAUGAGAUGUGCCAAUGAGACUUUGUGGGGGAUUGUUGGAAUUUUGCUAGUAGGCCUUUGGCCCAAAGCCCAACUAAAAUUCUGAAAUUCUCUUGGCCCAUUCAUGCACACAUGUGAGUGGAGUGAGUGAGACUAAAGUUUAGUCCCACCCCGGAAGUUGAGAGAGAGUUGCACCUCUUUAUAAGGUGAGCUCUUCUACCACUUGUAUGGGCAUGAGAAGAGGAGACCUACACGCGCGCUCCUCCUCCUCGCUCGCCUCGUCACGACGCGACGCGCCGCGCCGCGCCGCGCCGCGCCGCGCCGCUGGUUGCGGGAUUGAGCCGAGCCGAGGACAGAGCUAUGCACGUUGUCUAUAUUUUUGUUGCAUGGGAAAAUUAAUGAGUCAUUAGUUAAUAAUUAACGGACGCGUUAAUUACUGAACCGUUUCCGAUUCUUUUGGAUCGUGACGACUCGGACGUGGGGUUUACUCCCACGACCUACCCGGCCCGCACUAUAUAGUCAGGCAGACGUCUACCUUAGCCGCCGCCGCUUCGUAUGGUUUCUCACCACCGUUCCAGAUCAUUGCGCCGCGAAGCAAGUCUUCUCCAUCCCUCCUUCCGGCGUGCACCGCGAGAAGGGACAGCAAGCCUCCGGAACCCCGCCUCUCGUGAUCCUGUACGGGAGAGGGGCGAUCAGGUUUUUGGGGAGCGCAUUCGCGCGACUGCUGGCAGCGACGACUUCGCGAACGAUGACUUCUUCCCCCACCUCGGCAACCUCGUCCUCGACGACAUGGGCGACAACGUCAACGCCAGCGGUGCUGCACCCGCUGCACCGUAUGUGAUUCUAUCCUUCCUGUUCGAGAUCAUGGUAGAAUUCAUGCUUCUAGUAUGUGCCCUAGAUGUGAUAUGUUCAUCUGCUAUGCUAGUUCGCAUGAUUAGUUUAAUCUCUGCUGCUGUGGUCAUGAUUUAUCUUCUGUUUAUUCGGAUUAAAUCUCGUAGUAAUUUGCUCAUAUUUCCAACAGUCGAAUUGGGAUUCUCACAUUUUAAUGGUGUGCUUUAGUGGAUGUUUACACUGUAAUUCUCAAUGGAUUUACAAUAUAAUUCCUACUGGAUUUACACUGUAAUUCUCAUUGGAUUCAUAGUGUGACUCCUUAUGGUUUCAGUGUAAUUCCCUGUGGGUUUACAGUGUAAUUCGUUUUGGUUAUCUAGUGUGAUUCCUACUGGAUUUGAAAUGUAAUUCCCAUUUAGCCCGUAAGUGUUGACGCUAGUCCAACGUUGGAUUUCGCAUCCUUGAGUCAGUAGCUUGGUGUAGGAUGGUCCUGCUGUAUGUGUGCUUUGAUUUUCUAAGGUUUGGAUUUGAGAUUUUAGGAACUAGAGUUUUGGUUUACUGUCAUGUUGUUCCUGGUUUUUUCCCACCAUUAUUAGUAGAUUUACAGUGUAAAUUUUAGUGUGUUUGCACUGUAGUCCUUAGUGCAUUUGCACUGUAAAUAUUUGUGGGUUUGCAUUGUUAAUCUUAGUGAUUUACAGUGUAAUUCUUACUUCUUUUGCACUGUAAUUCUUAGUGGAUUGUACAUUGUAAUUUUUAGUGAAUUUUUAUUGUAACUCUAGUGUAAUUAGUACUCUAAUUUUAUUGGUAUUACACUGUAAUUCUUAGUGGCUUACACUGUAAACGUUUUCUGCUAUUAGAAUGCCACACGUUAAGGAAAUCAUCUACAUCGUCAUUGAGGUGCGACGCCUGCCCCUUGAUGCUCCCUUCAUUUGCAUUUGGGUCGAUUGUAUGCACCUGCACUCAAUAUAUUUUGAGGAAAUUAGAAGUACUGAACUUGUUGUAGAAUGAACAAUAGUAUUAUCUGUUUGUGCCAACAAGUAUUCAGUUCUGAACUGUUAAUAAAUGCAGAAUGAUUUUGUAGAGAAGGUCCCAGUAAUUUUGAUCAAACAGGUCACAGAAAUUUGUUAUCAGCUUAUACGUUAUUUUUGUUAGUGGCUAUUAGUGUGAGGAGGCCUAGUCUAGUGUCAGUGCUUAGCCUGAUUGUGUUUUUCCCUUUUCCGUUAAUUUCAAUUUCAGUGCUUAUGUUAAUACAAAUAUAUAUUCAGUCUAAACUAGUUGUGUUUAUAACUGCAAAUUCAGAAACUUUCUUUCAUUCAAUCACAUCUUCACUUGAACAGCAAGAAAGUGUCUAAAACUGGAAUCUUGCCCCUUGUAUGUUCUUCUAGUUUUCCUAAAUGGAAUUCAUAGCUUCCUGGUCUUUUUUUGUCCCUUUGUUGUGUUUGUAGCUGCAAAUUCAGAAACUUCUGCAUCUAGUUUUCAGAAUCUAGUGUUCCUGUGAUCAUAGACUAGUAGUUCAUGUGACCAUAUCCUAGUUGUUCCUAUGUUGUUUUUGAGGUGUUUCUAGUUGUUCCUAUGUAUUCUCCUGGUUCUUGCUUCUUAUCUUGUUAUGUUCUAAUUUUCGAUCUUGUAUUGUUUUUGUGCUUCUUUUUAGCCUAUGUAAUGAUCCUCACAGGCUUGUAUUUUCUUCCAGAUGUAAUCAGGCAGGAGAGGGAUGAUAGGAGGGGGUUGCUUACCUGUGUUUUUUCUGCUUCUCCAGGCCAUAUGCUGGUUUGUUAGGAAGUUGCAGUGCAAUUUCUAAGUGCAGUUAUUUUCUAAGUGGGUUUACACUGUAAUAGAUAAUGGAAUAAGAAAAUUCUGGAUUACUGGAUUACAGUGGAAUUAAUAGCUAAUUGAAUUUCUAAGUUUAAUUACAUUGUAAUUCUGGAUUUUACACUGUAAUUCCUACUGGUUUAAAGUGUAAUUAUUAGUUGAUUUUGCUCUGUAAUGCCUACUGGAAUAUGAGAAUUUACACUGUUUUUCUUAGUGGAAUUAUAGUGUACUUUAAUUUGUUUUGACACUACAAUUGUCUGUGGAAUUGAAGUGUGUAAUUUACACUGUAAAUUUUAGUGGAAUUGCAGUGUACUUUUAGUUUUUUUACAUUGUAUUUCUUAGUGAUUUGCAGUCUAUUUUUAGUGUAUUUUGUUUUGUAAUUCUUAGUGGAAUUGUUAGUGUAGUUUUAGUACUUCUGCAGUGGAAUUUCUAGUGUUAUUUAAGAAAUAACAGUAUUUUUGUGUAAUUAUUUUGUGUUCUUUAGUGAAUUUGACACUGUAAAUCUUAGUGGAAUUGCAGUGUACUUUUAGUGGAUUUUACAUUGUAUUUCCAAGUGGCAUUUUUAGUGGAAUUACAGUGCAUUUCUAGUACUUUUAAAACUGUAAUUCUUAGUGGUAUUUGUUAGUGUCAUUUUAGUCCUUCGUAAGUGGACGCUGUAGAUGCUAUCUGUACGGGUUUGAAAAGCUUUGGGUGUGGACCCGUUAAAAGUUUGGUGUGUGGAAUUGCAGGAUAGGAAACAAUGAGCAGGGCACACGGGGCAUGGGACACUUGUUGUCCUUUAGUUGGCUAGAAAAUAUGACUGAAAGUGAAUUUGUUUUCAUCCGGAUGUAAAAUAGACAGUCCCAAAAAAAAAAAAGGAACGUUUGAUGAAAUGUAUCUCGAGCCCCAUCAUACGGGCACUCGGCCAAACCGGCCUGUCGUGAUGGAGCAUACGGCAACCCAUGAUCGCCAAGCAGUACAAACUGUGUUGUGUGUUUGACCAUCUACAACUCGGCAUUCGUCAUAUGACCCGAGUUUAUUUUAGUUACCUAAUCCUCUUUUUCUGUCUCUCAGCAAUGGCACACCUUUGUUGAGUCGUAUAAGUUGUCAAGAAAUGUGCUCAGCUUAUGUGGUUGUUACCGAGAUCUUGUGAUCUGGCCCUUUGCAAUGGUUCGAACACUCGGGAAAUCCCAUUUUUCCAUUACUGAAUGGAAGCAUGAGUGUUAAGUUUGAUAAUAAGUGAGUAUCUUAUAGCUCCAUUUGAAAGAUAUGAGUUAUCAAAGAAGUCUACGUGCACUUAGCACUCACUUAUUAUCAAAAUAUAAAUAUGACAUGGGUAGUUAAUCUAGCUUAUAUAUUAGGCCUCUUUGGUCUGUAGGGAUUGCUAAAAUGUAUGAAUGAGAAAAAACAAAUUCUUCUCAAAAAGGGAAAAGGAAUGGGAAAACACAUGAUUAGAGCAUCAUAACAUCUUGUAUAUAUCAACUGAGUUAAAAAUAUAACAACAAAAUAAUAUGUUGUACCAAAUCAUACAUAAGAUUGAUCUUGUCGAAAUUAACUAGAGCAUUUUUCAGAGGCUCUCAGGCCAUUAAGGCUUGAUCAACACAUACCACACAACACAUGCAUGAACAUAUAAUUUGAUUUAAGAAGGUACAUCAACAUUUCAGGGGUACUAUUACAGUUGCAGAUAACCAAAAAAUCACUUAUCAACAUUCACCACGUCGGUCUUGCACCCAAUACAAGCCACAUAAAUGUGAGAUUGUCACUGAAGCUUCCAUGAGCUUCAGCUUCAAUCAGCGGCCGGGUAGUUCCAAUUCCAUGACACACCAUACACAAGAAACAUGUCGAAAUGGUCGCGCUGGAACUAGAAUUAGAUGCCGUUGGGUUUGACGGUACCAUUGGACAACACUACCAACCCGCUGCAGUAAUCGCCAACGAACAUAGCACAUGACAACACACAAUAGCAAAUCAUACAAUAUGAGCUACUAUAAUGAACUUUAACAAUCCAUUUAUAACAGCGACUUAAAAACUAACAACAUAUGAACGUAUUAAUGUCUAUGAAAUUUCUAAACUACAAAAUAUGACUUAUGUUUUAUAGCUAACCUUAUAAAAUGUAAUGUAUGUUUGGGAAAUUCACAUAGAAAGCAAGCAUAAGUAUCAAUUGCACAUACACUUCUUUGAUAGCUCAUAUAUUUGAAAUCGAGCUAUAAGAUACUCACUAUUAUCUAACUAUAAAUAUGACAUGUUUUGUUAAUCUUGCCUAUUUUGGGCAUAUUUGGUCCAGCGGGUUGCUAAAAUGUAUGAAUGGGAAAAACACACUCUUCUCAAAAAAUGAAAAAGAAUGGGGAAAACACAUGAUUAGAGCAUCACGCCAUCUUGUAUAUAUCAGGGACUUGAAAACUUAAGAACAAAGUAACAUGUUGUACCGUAUCAUGCUUAUAGACUGAUCAAAUUAACUAGGGCAUUUCCAGAGACUCUGGGCCAUUAAAGUUUAGGCUUGGUCAACACAUGCAUCAACACCAUUUGCACCUGGCACUAGAAAAACCUUUGGAAUGUCAAAAUUAAACUUGGGAAAAUGUGAGUGCAAUGACGGUGCCGAAUGUAUAGGGAUCUGGCACAAGAUCUCUUCCCGCCUUCUCUCAGCGGAUACUCUAGCUAAUGGUUCUGGACGAGAAUACACUCAUCACAUACAUUGCUAUCUGCUCCGCCAUGAUCUUGUGGAUGCCCACCCAAUCCCUUUGAAUAUACACAUGCGCACACAUAAUUUUUUCACUACGACUAGCUAGAAAACAUGUAUGUGUGUUUCAAAGAGAGGUGGGGAGUGAUAGAGAGAUAUAAUAGAGACACACUACUUGGGGGCAUGGGUGCAUGAUGUUUGCUUGAACUACGUCGGUAUUUCCCCAAAGAAAAAGGAAUGAUGCAUCACAACAACGAUAGGUAUUUUACUCAGUGAUGAGACCAAGGUUAUCGAACCAGUAGGAGAACCACGUAAACAGCUCCUGCACACAAAGAACAAAUACUUGCAACCCGGCGUAAGAGAGGGGUUGUCAAUCCCUCACGGGUAAAAGGAUAGGUAAAAUUGUAGUAGAUUGGAUAAAUAGAUCUCGCGGGAACGUGAGAUAAAAUAAAUAAAUAAAAAUUACAGCAAGGUAUUUUUGGGGUUUUGAAUUAAUAGAUCUGAAAAUAAAAGCAAAUAAAGUUAGAUCGCGAAGGCAAAUAUAUUAAAGAAGAAACCCGGGGGCCGUAGGUUCCGCUAGUGGCUUCUCUUGAGAAAAAUAGCAACGGUGGGUAAACAAAUUACUGUUGGGCAAUUGAUAAAACUUCAAAUAAUCAUGACGAUAUCCAGGCAAUGAUCAUUAUAUAGGCAUCACAUCCAAGAUUAGUAGACCGACUCCCGCCUGCAUCUACUGCUAUUACUCCACACGUCGACCGCUAUCCAGCAUGCAUCUAGUGUAUUAAGUUCAUGGAGAAACGGAGUAAUGCAAUAAGAACGAUGACAUGAUGUAGACAAGAUCUAUUUAUGUAGAAAUAGACCACAUCUUGUUAUCCUUAAUAGCAACAAUACAUACGUGUCGGUUCCCCUUCUGUACUGGGAUCAAGCACCGUAAAAUCGAACCCAUCACAAAGCACCUCUUCCCAUUGCAAGAUAAAUAGAUUAGGUUGGCCAAACAAAACCCAAAUAUCGGAGAAGAAAUACGAGGCUAUAAGUAAUCAUGCAUAAAAGAGAUCAAAAGACUCAAAUAACUUUCAUGGAUAAAAGCAUAGAUCUGAUCAUAAACUCAAAGUUCAUCGGAUCCCAACAAAACACAGCGCAAAAAGAGUUGCAUCACAUGGAUCUCCAACAGACCAUUGUAUUGAGAAUCAAAAGAGAGAGAGAAAGCCACUAGCUACUAACUAUGGAACCAAAGGUCUACAGAAAGACUACUCACACAUCAUCGGAGAGGCACCAAUGAAUUUAUAGAGCAAAGAGGCGGUGCGGGAGGCCAUCGAGGUGGGCACAACCCACCUGGGCGCGCCUGGGGGCCCAGGUGCGCCCUGGUGGGUUGUGCCCCCCUCGGGGCACCCCCCAAGUGCUUCUCUGGCCCAUUGGAUGUCUUCUAGUCCAUAAAAAUUCCACAGAAAGUUUCGCUGCGUUUGGACUCCAUUUGGUAUUGAUUUCCUGCGAUGUAAAAAACAAGCAAAAAACAACAACUGGCACUGGGCACUAUGUCAGUAGGUUAGUACCAAAAAAUGAUAUAAAAUGAUUAUAAAAUGAUUUUAAAACAUCCAACAAUGAUGAUAUAAUAGCAUGGAACAAUCAAAAAUUAUAGAUAUAUGUUGGAGACGUAUUAGUGCACGGUAAAGGGAUCAUCGACGGUGGUCGGCAAAGGUUGGGAGAUAUGGUGGCCAUCAUUGCAAUCAGACUGAAGCAAAGAGGGGUGGGGUGGUGGCACGGGACUGUUGUUACUAGGGCUUAGAGUUUGCAUCGAGAUGCCGAGGGAUUAUAUGUAUGUGUUGGACAACACUAUGUUUAUCUCACCUAGUUGGACAACAACACAUGGAAGGCGGUAGAAUAAAGAAACAUGUAUGAGGUGUUGCUCUGUGUGUGUGGGGGGGGGGGUCGACGAGAUCCCUCCAGACACCACCCAUCUCUCUACAUUCUUCGACAAUUCCACGUAGAUCGUAAGAUAGAUUGCACAUUGAUCAACUACAACUACUGCUUGGUCUUAGGAUUUUCUACAGGGUUGGUGAUUCUUUGGGACAUUUGGGUUGCUAUGGUUUCUCAAAAAAUGAUUGUGUGGUUUCUAUCUACACAACAUACGUGGUAAUCAUAAGUUUCCAAUGAGUCCUAUUUAUAGCUAUGUGAAACUUUGAAAGUAUUAGAUUAUUAAUCGUGUGUAUAACAACGAGACUUCUUAAUGAAUAAACGUGUCACCUACUGUUGAGUGUACUUUACACUCAUCUUUUCCUAAGUUUAAACUUGUCACUUGAAGUUGCCCACUAAUAGCUAAUAAUUUUAAAAAUGUAUAAAUUUGCUUAUGUCUGAAAGUUGUUGCAAAUAUGAACAUAAAAUGGCAAAAUAAAGGUGAUAACCCACAAGUGCAGGGAUCGCAACAGUCUUUGUUGGGAAGUAUUACAACUCUAAUUCAUAUUUGACUUUAUGGGGCCGAGAAAAAACUUAUAGGCUUUGGCAGUUGAGUUGUCAAUUCAAGCACACAUGAAACGCCGUGGGAUUUUUUUCUUGCUAAUUGUUUGGUGUUUCAUGUAACUACAUAACAACAAAUAAGGCUAGGCAAGAAUAGCCUUUUUGGCCACAUUUUGUCUAUUCACUCAUAACAUCAAUUGGUCUUGCUGGUAAAGUCGAGACUUGGCAUUCUCGUCUCAUGCAAUGACAACAUUUACAUACUUACAUCUUCUCUUCAACUUCCAUCUUCUCAUGGCUUUUGCCCACAGAUUACCAUGUGCAGGGCCAUACUCGAGAAAAUGGAGGCUCGGUGUCAAAAAUCUGGCUCUCAACAUAACAAAUGUCAAUCAAGAAAAACAAAGCUUUGUUAUAAAUAUCAUCCCAUUGUUGCCAUGUACCUCAUCAGCACUUGUAUCUGCACUCCAAUUUUAAUGUGGCCAAAAAGGGUACACUCUUUGUUCUUGCCUCCUUGCUCAUCUUGGUGAAUCAGCAACCUCGCACUUGUGGCAUGCCUCCAACUCCUAUCAAUGCACCCAUGUCGUAGGACAGCGGCAAGCAACAAUGGGACUGACAGAACCAUAGGAGAUAUGUGAGAAACCGGGAAAAGUAGACUAAAUAAAUAGAUGGACGGAGAGUAGAAUAGUACCAAAAUUCAUUUAAUUAGAGGAUUUGUUUUGGGGAAAAUAUGAACAAAUUGAUCAACUGGAAUAGAAUCAAGGCCGAGAUUGGAUUGUAGGGAGAGCAAGGGAUCUACUCCAGAAAAGAAAGAGGGUGGAGAGAAAAGAGGAGGAGGGGUGCGUGAGAUGGGGCAUUGGAGUUCUUUUGUUCCAGGUUCCAACAUAGUAUUUGAUCGAUGCCUUGAUUACCCCCAUAUAAUCUAGUCAUUCAUGCUAUAUUGCAUAGACGAUUUGGUGCCCUGUUAAUUUGGGGGCCCUACGCAGUCGAACACUCCACGUGCCCCAUAGACCAUGUGCAUGUGCGAGUACCUAUUAGCUAGAUAGCACAAUGGGUCUGGCUAGAUGACCUUGCUUGUGUUGUGUGAUGUGUUAACGAUGGAUACUAGAGAUGGUCGAUAUUUGAUGAUAGGGAAGGGAUGUUGAAUCUAGCCAUGUAUUGUUAGAUAUAUGACAUGUAAGUUACUUCUUAGAUUCAAGACCCUCAGAACAAUCCUUGGUCCCAGGCAGUGAAAACCAAUAAAAAAACACAUGCUAUAAGCAAUGGUAGGCACAAAUCCAAACACGGGGGCAAAUAGUGGAUACCUUAAGGACAAUUAUCCCGUAGGGAAGCAAACCAUAUCUCUACCUUACUAAGCAUUGUUGAUUCUCUUUUCUUUCUCUAGCACAAGACAUGAAAUUCGUCCGGUGCAAUUGUGGAUCCUAAAUUCAUGUGAUUUAUUUUCCAGCUUGCAGCACAUGACAACACACAAUAGAAAAUCGCAGCGUAUGAGCUAUUAUAAUGAACAUUACCAAUCCACUUAUAAUAAUGACUUAGAAACUAACAACACAGUAACAUAUUAAUGUCUGUGGAAUUCCUAAAUUCUAAAGUAGGACUUAUGUUUUAUAGCUGAUUUUAUAACCUGUAAUGUCAGAAAUAUUGAGAAAUUCACAUGAAAUGCAAGCAUGAGUGCCAAUUGCACAUACACGUAUAUGAUAACUCAUAUUUUUAUACUCGCUUAUUAUGUAACUAUAAAUAUGACUUGUUUUGUUAAUCUAGCUUAUUGGGCCAAUUUGGUCCAUAAGGGUUGCUAAAAUGUAUGAAUGGGAAAAGCGCAUUCUUCUCAAAAACCAAAAAAUAACGGGAAAAACACAUGAUUAGAGCAUCACACCAUCUUGUAUAUAUCAAUGACUUAAGAACUGAGUAACAUAUUGUACCAUAUCAUACUUAUGGAUUGAUCUUGUUGAAAUUAACUAGAGCAUUUUCAGAGAUUCUCGGGCAAUUAAAGUUUAGGCUUGAUCAGCACAUGCCACACAACACAUCCAUCAACAUAUAAUUUGUUUUAGGAAGAUACAUCAACCUUUCAUAGGUACUAUCAGAGUUGCAGAUGAUCAAAACAAGCGCGAUCUCGUGGUAUGCAUGCUGUUCUGCUUAAUUUCCUUGAUCAAUGUAUUGUCUUGUUUGCAGACUUCUCAAGAGAUUGGUGGCUGAGAAUGGAAAGCAUAAAUGGGCAAAGAUUUCAAAACACCUCCCAUGACGGAUUGGGAAGCAAUACCAUGAGCGAUGGACAAAUCCCCUACACCCCGACCUCAAGGUCCGCUUAUUAUUUUCAUGCAUAGCGGCUUAUAAUCUUUAUUUUAAUUAGCGGAAACCUUGCAUAGAUCUAUACAUGAUUUGGAAAUCUAAGUUGUUUUAGUUAAGUUUUUAAUAUGUUCAAACUAAAACAAUUUAGACCAAAAGAUUAGAAAUUUUAGUGGCAUGUGCCAUCCGUGGUCUCUUGUUUUUGUUAUAUUAUGAGCAUAAAUUAAAAUAACUAAAACCUAAUUGAGGUCGCAAAUCUCCAGCCUCUACUCCUAUGUUUGGAGAAAAAAUAAUAGAUGGUAUAGAUUAUUUAUUUCCCUUGUUGUCUAUAGAUGUCAAUUGCGACUUCCUUAUUUCGACCACACGAGUUUCUAGAGUCUUCCGCGGUGGCAGGGCUAGGGGUGGCCGGGUGGGCGAAAGGGAGCCGUGGCCCCCUCAUGGUUUGUCACUCUUACCACCAUCUGGGCCAUACCUUUUUCUUUUUCUCAAUGCUACAGGGCCUCCCAUUUUGGCUUUUUUCCUAGAUUUUUUUGUUUAGGCGUGUUGUUGAAAUACUCAAAUUUGGUGGUAUUUUUUCACGAUGUGUUUCUUACCCUUUCUUCAAUAUGACAUUUGUAUUUUUUUUCAAUAUAGCUUACCACUUAUACCAUGUGAUUGUACCUUCAUGUGAUUGUACCCUUCAGUUGUUAGGGCAUGACCAUGUGAUAGCCUCAUGGUGAUGCCUCAUGUGCCAUGUAGGAUCGGAUGUCAGGGAAAAUAGGUUCGGAUAGGGAAGCGGGAUCCUCUGCAAGAGGCAGGUGCUUGAGGAGAAAAAAUGUGCUCCAAUGUAAAAAAAACUGAAAAAGAUGAAAUGAAGAGUAGAGAUGCAUAUGUAUUAAAGUUUUUAUUUUCUAUUCCUUGAUGAGGCCCAUUAGUAGUAGCUUCUGUUGAGGAGAAAAAAUCAGUGUAGUUGCCUCAAUCUACUUUUUCUCAUGGGGCAUCUCUAUCCAUAUGUCAUCAUUAUGCAUGCCCGGUUGAUGCACCGACGGUUAUCUAGAAAAGCACCUCUGAUGUCAUUGUCUACCACAUUUGUUGAGAAUCUGCUAGUCAGCUAAAACAAUAAAAAUAAUUUUCUGGCAGAAAAGUAGUAAGAUAUCGCUUGCGAGCAAUCACACUUCGAGAGCCUAUCAGUCCACAGCGAGUACAGUAGGGGUUGAAUGCAGUUAAGUCAGCUAAUAAUGUUACAUUCUGAGGUGCUGAACUAUAAAAAUCUGCAAUGUCAUGGAGGACAAAGCAUAGUCAGUUGAACAUUGCUAUACACACGACCCCAUGUGCACGAUUUAUGGACGACACUGUUAAUCAAGCCGUUGGUGCUAGAAAGCAAACUUCAGUACAUCGGCAGAUUUUGCAUCGGCCCUGAAUCGGCCACGCAUCAGUCGUUCGCAAAGUAGUUUCGUAGUCAGUUUAGAUACAACAAUUCACAGUCCCAGAAUAAUUAAAAUUAGUCAUACUCCCCGCGGGUAACAUAACAAUACUACACACCAAAAAAUCAAGCACCAUACAAACCUGCAAUUUUGUCGGCCAAAAUUGUGUUGACCACACAAAUAGCUCAUGCUCCUCGAUUAUAAAAGAUAAAAACACCAUCGUCGCUUAUUAUGAUAUUAAUAACAGCCGCUUUGCUGCUUCCCCUCUGUAAACAAAAGAUAGUUGCAAAAAUCAGUUCACUUAUGGCUAUCCAUGGUUGAGGCUAUAACAAGUCAAAAUUCAUGCAACUGCAUGAACAUAAGACGCUAUGUUUUUCUUGGAUAUGCCAAUGCAAACAAAAAACUGAACCUUGGGACUUUCUUUUUAUCAUUUGACUCUCUUCAAAUCAAACACCACAUAAGCAUCUGCAGUGGCGAAGCAGCACAAGCACGCCGAGCACACACCCAACACACACGCACGGCAGAGCAGACAGUAGCACCACACACACACAGCACACACGUACAGAGGAUGCAAGACCACACAGACGUACGCAGAGCACGCACGCACGCACAUACGCAUGCGAGAAGAAGAGUCGUGUACCCAUAUCUCGAUAAGCAACCAGCACAAUUAAUUCCAUGAAGAAAGUAGUAACAUUGAGUGCAGGCUUUAACUGGUGCAAAUUAUCCCUGAUAGGAGCAUCAGAGAGGUCAACAUUCGGAUAGAGGGCCAGCGGCAUCUGCAAAUGGACAGCGGAAACAUAUGCGGUCUCUGCUUUCACCAACAUGCUGAUUGCACAACACCCAGGCAUGCAUAAGUGGGCAGGUAAAAAGUUAUCUACCGUCUCUUCGUUUCUCUCAUAUUGAUUUUUUUUAACACAGUACAGACACAAGCGCUCAUAUAUACGUGUAUACACUCACCUCAUGAAGACACACACGCACACGGCACACCCUAUUCCUAUGAGAGCCGACAUAUCUGUCCCUCUAACUAUCCAACUACCCCUAUCUUAUGUGUGUUAUGACCUCAUCCUCUAAUUAAAACUGAAAGCCGAUGAAACUGAAUUUUUACAUACAUUUUUACUCCAUUUGUCUUAUGUGGACGCGACAAGAACUUUUAGCAGUCUUUUGUAUUUAUAUUAGGUUUGAGUUUUCGAGAAAGCAAGGCUAUAGAAUUUUAAGGUUAAGACUGAAUAAGAGCAAACAACCUUCGUAUGAUCGGGUUUUUUUUUUUUGAGACCAACCUUCGUAUGAUCGUUGUGACAAGGAGAUGGUAUUCUUUCUCACGGUAGGUUCGGCCCAUUUUCUUUUAGUAAGAAAAUCAUCGAUGUCCUUAGUUAUCUGCUCAAAUGGCCAAAUAUGCAGAGCUGCAACUCAUAGAGCACUUAUAGCCGGACUUUGGCAAACUGACGGUCACAUCUCAAAUUUCCUUCUCACAAUCAGAUAUUUUAAUUAGCAUACCUCAAAUCCAUACAGAAUCAUACAACACACAUCGUUCGGCUACUACAUCAGGACAUGCCAUCACACUACCAAAAUUUGGCAUGUUCUACCUACAUAUUAACUAUGGAGAAGAUCGUCCAUGUCUGCCCUUGCCCUUCCCGGUGCCCUUGACUUCCUUCUCGCAAAAGUAGCGAUCAAAAACCUAGUAUGGAUCAAGUCGGAUCUUGAAAGUGCGUUAUAUCGACUAUAAGGGGGGUGAAUAGGCGAUUUUUAUGAAAUUCCUUAGCGAAGAACUACUAGCAGCGGAAUAAGUACUCAAAAGUAAACAUAACAGAAUACAAGCAUAGUCAUCAUGAUGAAAUGAAGACAGGCACAGAAUACAGGAAGCGUAAGCACAGGAUAACACAGGAUGAAGACAAACAGAUUGAAGAAAUUGAACUAAGGAAAUUGAGAAAGUCUUCAGUCAAAGUCUUCAAACACAUAUAUGAACAAACACACAACACAGUUAUGAGGAAAUGAAAGAGUUGAGGGAAUAGAACCAGUAAGCUUGGUGAAAACAAUGAUUUGGUAGACCAGUUCCAACUGUUGUCUCAGUUGUACGUCUGGUUGGAGCGGCUGAGUAUUUAAAUUCGAGGACACACAGUCCCGGACACGCACUCCUGAACACGCAGCUCAGGACACUCAGUCCUCACCGUAUUCUCCUUGAACUAAGGUCACACAGACCUCGUCCAAUCACUCGUGGUAAGUCUUCACGUGACUUCCGAACCUUCACAGACUUGGUCACUCGGUGAUCCAUAAUUCCUUUUGGAUGCUCUAGACCAUGACGCCUAACCGUCUGGAAGAAGCACAGUCUUCAAAGGUAACAAGCGUCGGAUCCACGCAGGAUCAAUCUCUUCAGUGAUGCUCAAUCACUUGGGGUUUGUAGGUGUUUGGGUUUGGAUUUUUCCUCACUUGAUGAUUUUCUCUCAAAGUCCUCGGAGGAUGGGUUGCUCUCAAAUGACAAGUGUCAGUUUCUCUCGGAGCAGCCAACCAGCUAGUGGUUGUAGGGGGGCGGUUAUUUAUAGCCUAGGGAGCAGUCCGACAUGAUAAGACAUAAAUGCCCUUCAAUGAUAUAUGACCGUUAGGUGGAUAGAUAUUUUGGGACAGCUGGCGCAUAGCACAGCAACGGUCGGAAUUUUGAGUAGCAAAAUCCUCAGCGCUAUCAUGUUCCUCACUGUAUAGACAAUCCGCACUGGCGAAUUUCUAACUCCUCAGUCAGAACAAAUUCCUCAGAGACUAGAAGAACUUCGUCUCUGUCACUGAAGAAUAUGACUGAACUGUAUGAGAUUUCCAAUGGCUUCACUCGAAGGGAUUGGUAGGUGUAGGAUUUUGAGUUGAGCAUCACAUGGAAAUUUUUCCUUAGUAUUUCCUCGACCCCCUUUAACAAUACGGUGUUUCCUAUGACUCAAAAAAGAGAAAAUGAAACUACGAAAACAAAAGUCUUCACGCUUCAUGUUCCUCGAAUGAAUACCAAGUCUUUAAGGUCACACCAAUUUUUUCACUUUCAAAGUCUUCAGAAAGCCAAAGUCUUCAGUCGAAGAACUUCAUUUUUAGGGGUCGACUUUCUCUGUAAAUAUCAAACUCCUCAUAGACUUAUAGACAUGUGUACACUCACAAAUGCAUUAGUCCCUUAACCUAUAAGUCUUCAAUACACCAAAAUCACUAAGGGGCACUAGAUGCACUUACAAUCUCCCCAUUUUUGGUGAUUGAUGACAAUAUAGGUUAAGUUUUCAACGGGGAUAAACAUAUGAAGUGUAAAUACUGAUAUUGAGGAAUUUGAUUGCAAGAUAUAGAAGAACUCCCCCUGAAUAUGUGCAUAGUGAGGAAUUUGCUUUUGAGGCAAUGCACACUUGAAGAGUUGAAUCAUGGAGAUCUCCCCCUAUAUCUUGUAAUUCAUACACGCAUUUGACAUAUAACAGUGAAGAAUUUGAAAUGCAUGAUGAAAUAUGGUGACUGAUGUAAUUCAGCAUGCGUGCAAUGAAAUUAACGAGGACUAAGCAUGCAGAAAAAUGUCGGGUUUAAUUUUACAACUUGAUCCAAUAAAGUCUCAGAAGAACGAGAGUUGUAACUUGAAAAAAAACGUCCAUAUAGAAAGACCCACUUGAAGACUAACUCAAAAUUCUCCCCCUUUGUCAUCAUAUGACCAAAAGGAUCGAAUAUGAGGACUAACGCCCCUGAAGAAUAUCAAGUUGAUGAAGGAGCGCCAGCGUUGUUGGGGUCGUCUGUCGUAGUAGGGCCUGCCGCGGUGUCAUCCAUGUCUUCAUUCUCAUCAGUGUCGCGCGAUGAAGAAAAUGAGCUGGCCACCAGAGAAGGAACCUUGACCUUCUUGAAUUUCUUUGGUGGAGGUGCAGACCAGUCAAAAUAUUCCUUGAGACCCAUUUUCUUCAGAUCUUCUUCACCAUACAGAUGUGAUAGUAUUACCCAGGUGCGACCGAAGACUUCAUGGAGGUAGUAAUGGUUUUUCUUCACUGCAUUAUGUGUAGCAGUCAUGUUGUGAAGAAAUGAACCAAACUGAGGAAUCUCAUAAUCCAAGGUGCAUAAGGCUUUAGCUCAAACGGAGACAGUGCAACAUUUGCCAGAGUCCUCAUGAAGAAAUUGUGAUAAUUGACAGGAAUACCAGAUUCUUCAUAAUGCCAACAAUUUCCUCAUCAGAUGAGUCGUGGCCUUUGAUAGGACUCAUUGUACUCGUAAGAAUACGAUAGACAGUUCUGGGCACAUAAAGUAAUUCCUUCACGAGGAAUUUGGUUCAUGGGGCCUGACCUGGCUUCAAAGGUUUUAUCAGAACCUGCAUGUAGUGAUUUGUAAGCUUAGGUUCACUGUAGAUGCAACGAGCUUCUUCAAGGGGAGGACUGAGUGCUAAGGCAUGAAGCAAUUCAGAAGCUGGUGUAGUGUAGUGAGUGUUUUCAGACAUCCAGUCCAGCACCCAUGAAUUCACAUCUUCAGAAUCUUCUGUGAUGUGCAGCGUUGCAUAAAAUUAAAGAAUCAGUUCUUCAUUCCAAUCACAGAUGUCAGAGCAAAAAAUUUAACAGUCCAGCGUCGUGAAGAACACUGAGGAUUGGCGCGAAACACGGCAGAGAUUCCAUAUCCACAUGAGGAAUGUGCUCAUGGUAGAAGAUUUUCUCUUUGUUGAACAGCACUGAGGAAUAGAAAUUUGCUUGACUAGCAGUCCAGAAACGCCUCUUCCUAAUGCGAGUAGAGUUAUAAGGGUUGUAGUCUUCGAAGAAUACAUGCUCGCUGAAGAAAUCAUCAGCCCUGAACUUUUGCUUGCGUGAGAAUGGAUCAUUUGGCUUAGGCAGAGGAGUGUCAGUGAGUUGCAUCACGACCUCAGGAAUCGCAAUCUCAGGUUCUUCAGGCUGAGGAAUUUUUGGUUCCUCUUCAGUGGCAGUCUGUGUCUUCAGAUGUUCAGUAGCAGCAGUUUCUUCAGCACUAGUGGCUGGAAUUUCCUCAUGUACAGAUGCAGUGGGGUGAGUUUCUUCAGAGCCUAUUUGAACAGUUUGUGUGGGGGACUGAGAUAUUUGCUGCAACGGUGUGAACAUUGGAGAGUUUGGAUGCUGACUUUCCCAGAAUUCAUCACUUAUUACUAGUGUGGAGCAGCCAACGUCCACAUCUUCAUCUUCCAUUUCUUCAACGCUGGCCUCUUCAGCUGUGAACUGAGGCAUGGGCGAGGAGAUGACAGGUGUUGAAGGGAUCGCAUCCACUUCAAUUUCUUCAUCAAUCUGCUCUGACGAAGCAGCAAAAUGAUUUUCUUCAUCAGGUCCGCUAGAGAUCUCAUAUUCUUCACCAAAAGGAACAAGGUCCUUUGAUGGCAUGGUUGAGAUUGGAACAACAUCAAUGGGAUUAGCAAAUGAACUGGUCAAAGGCUUCAUCUUCUUCGGAGCUGAAGAAUCUGAAGUAGCUGAUGCUUUCCUUUUCUUCACUGCUGCACGCUCUACAGCCUUGGUUUUCUUCACAUCUGAUGCAGAUGGAAGUAUCGGAGUUGGUGUUGGCGCAGGAGGAGCAGAGGAAUCUGGUUGAUUUUCUUCAGGCACAAUUGAUGCAGUUGCCCUGAUUGCUUCAGUUUCUUCAGGCGCACCACUAAUGGAUGCCCUGGCAAUUUCUUCAGCGGCUGGAAUGUAGUCAUCAGCCCUAGAAAUCACAUUUUCUUCAGCAGCCUGAUUUUCAUCAGUGGUGCUAGCAUGUUGUUCAGUCGGCUGAGUAGAUGCUUCAACCUGAGGAACUUCCUGUUGCGUUGGGGCUGCAACAUUUGAGGUGAAGUUAUCAGCGAGUCUCACAAAACAAACUUUGGCUCCAAGCCAAUCAGCAUGGUAUGCGUCAAAUUCAUCACUGAGUUUCUUGAUCUUAGAUUGAGUAGUGACAAGUUCUUCAGUUGUCAUAGAGACAACGUUUUUCUUCAGAUAGCGCUCCUUCUUGUACUGCGCUUUCUUGAUCUGCCUGGCCUUCUCAAAUUUCCAUUUUUCUUCUUGAAUGAAGUGAGUCAGCAUGUGACUUUGGCCAGGAGUCAGCUUCAAGUCAGGCAUGGGAGUGUUGGGGUCCUUGUGCCAAACGUCAAUGUAUUCGAGGAUCAACUUGGGAUCCAAAAGCAGUGGCACAUUUGUUCCCUUGGCGCUAGCGGCCCUGACUUGCCUAUCUCUGAUGAUUUCAGCAAGUUCAUCAUCAUCAGCUUCGUCUUCUUCAGACGGCACUUGGAAGGCGACCUGCUUCUUCUGAAGACUAGGGCGAGGACCUCGUCCAGCAGUGGCCUUUGUCUUCAGUAGAGAGGGUCCCAUUGAGGAAUUUGGUGCAGCUGAGGAACUAGCUGAAGCUCCUGAGGCAAUUGAGACGCCUGUGGUCCUUUGACACGUGGCAAGAUGCACAGUUGCAGAGGACUUUGUCGGAGCGGCCGAAGACUUUGGCGGAGGAGUUGAGGACUUUUGAGGAACAGGAGCAGCAUGAGGGAUUUGCCGUGAGGGUUUUGAGGAUUCUAGCCGUGAGGGCAUUGCUGAGGAACUUGACCUUGAGGGCACUGUUGGUGAAGCACUUGGCUUGCGCGCAGACUUCUUUGACAUAGCCUUCUUCGGCUUGACAGCAAAGGCCUCAGCAGAGGUAGCUGCUGCAGCAGAGUCUUCAUUGAAUUUCCUCACUACUUUUCUGGCUUGCUUAGCCAACUUGGCUUGGCGCUUGGCCCAUUCAUCAGGAUAGUCCUCACCGCGCUUGAGGCUGGUGGGAUCAGCUAUUUGGCCAGGUGCCAAUGGAGGUCUUGGGCAUGAAGGAUUGAGUGUGAAUUUCUUCAUGUACUUGGGAGUAACAUACUUGUACUCCCUCCACUCUCUUGCCCAUCUCCUCUCUAUCUUCUGAAUGCGCACCUUGUGCUAAUUUUUGUCUUCCUUAGGAGGUGUGCAGUACCCAGCAUAUAUAUCAUCAGGGAUCUCAAACGUUGUGUUAACCUCAGUCCUCUUUCCUCCUUUCUGUGGCUUCUUACCGUCAGCCAUUUUCUUCAGUUGAGGAAUUUGAACAAUUGAAUUCUCUGAAGAAGUAUGCAACUUUUUUUCGAGGAACGCUACAAAUGAGUUAACUUGAUGAGAACCUAGUGAUUCAGCAGCUGACAUGAGUACCUGUGAACAGAGUAUAGUUGCGAGGAAUUUGGAGAAGUCAUAUGCGUUCUUAGAAGGUUUUAUAAAGAACAAGUUUGAGGAAUUUGACCAGAUGAGUCUUGAAGAAUUUCACUAAGCGUUCUUUGUCUUAGGUUCCAGAGAUGUGUAGAUCAAAAAUCCACACAUUUGAGGAAUCUUGAAGAAAAACAUAGCUUAGAGAAACGAAUCAAGAACAGAUGAUAUGUGAGGUGUUUUAGUGUGUGAAGAUAUGAAGAAAAACACCUUUGAAGAUUUUGUAGAUAAUCAUUCGAAUCAACAAGGGCAGUAAAAGUAACUUUUAAUUACCCUGGAUGAAGAACACGACGAACAAUGAGGUGGACAGGUGAAGUUCGUAUGUGUGGAUCUUCCACACCCUAACUUGGUGGAGGAAGACGGCUACGGCGGCGGCGGAGAGAAGAUUUCCGCGGCCGGCACGAGUACGGCGGCGACGAGGUCGAGGCAGUGAAGCACUUCCUCACCGGCGACGAUGAAGUAGCGGCGGCGCUAGGGUUUGAGAAGGUUGAGCUGGAGAGAAGUCGAGCGGAGUAAAAGAAGUGAGGAAGGGGAAGAGGGGUAUUUAUAGCCACGGUGAAAAAUUGUUCGCCCGAAGAAAUUGGACGAACGUGCCCCUGACCCUUCUCAUUCGCUUGACAUGUGUCACCCAUGUACUGAGAGGUGGAGAUCGUGUACGAUCGUGGGUGAAUGGAUAAGUGUAUCAUGGGAUGCAGAACGGUUUGAGCGGAAAAGCCGAAAAUUUAGAUAAGAUAGGUUUUAAAGUUCCGCUCGCAAUUUCUUCAGCUGACAAGGACACCGUGAAGAUUUUGAACGAGUUUCAAAUAGAACGCACAUGAAGAAUUUGUGAACAGAUUGGGUUGAGUUUAGCAUAGAUGGGGAAGGGUCUGAUUACAUUCACUUAGCAGAAAAACCAACUUGAAGAAUUAGCAAUAAGUGAAUGUUGUAGAGGACAUAAACUCAUAUAAAUAUAUAGACAAUGAAGAAAAACGACGGAAACAGUGAAGACAAUGCAAAGUUGAAGAAUAUGAACAACUGAGGAAUUUCAACUUUUGGUGGUGGCGUGACCCACCGUAUAAGAAUGAUGAUUUCAGACACCACGUACAAUUAUCGUAGGGUUCUGAGAAUCAAAUUCUUCGUUAAUUUAUUCACACUAAGAGUGUUAUUCUUCAUUGAUUGGAGAAAAACAUUUCUUCAUGUGUUGCACAUCUAAGUCAUCAAUUUUGCAUAAGUGCUAGGAUGAGUGUCCUUUUCAAAGAAUAUUCGAAGAUUUUAGGAUAUUUAGCUCACACCGCAACUUGCUAAAUCUCUUCUCAUCCAAGGGCUUUGUGAAGAUAUCGUCUAGCUGUUCUUCAGUCUUCACAUGCUCAAUAGAAAUGUCGCCCUUCAACACAUGAUCAUGAAGAAAAUGAUGACGAAUCUGAAUGUGCUUAGUCUUCGAGUGUUGAACUGAGUUGUGAGCAAUCUUGAUGGCACUCUCAUUGUCAGAGAAGAGAGGCACAUUCUUCAUUUUGACGUCAUAGUCCUUGAGUUUGCUUCAUCCAUAGCAAUUGAGCACAGCAAGAACCAGCGGCAAUGUACUCAGCUUCAGCGGUAGAUAGUGAUACGCAGUUCUAUUUCUUUGAGGACCAACAGACCAAAGAUCGUCCGAGGAAAUGACAUGUACCAGAUGUUGACUUGCGGUCCACACGAUCACUAGCAUAGUCAGAGUCAGAAUAUCCAAUGAGAUCAAAAGCCGAGCCCUUGGGGUACCAUAAUCCAAGUGUUGGUGUGUGAGCUAGAUAUCGAAGAAUAUGCUUCACAGCCUUAUGGUGUGAUUCCUUCGAUGUAGCUUGAAAUCGGGCACACAUGCAAACACUAAGCAUUAUAUCUGGCCUAGAUGCACAUAAGUACAAUAAAGAACCAAUCAUGGAGCGGUAUACCUUAUGAUCGAAGUUAAUAACAUUUUCAUCAGUGCACAGAUGGCCAUUUGUGGGCAUAGGAAUUUUGACGCCUUUGCAAUCUUGCAUGCCAAAUUUUCUCGGUACAUCCUUGAGGUAUUUCUCCUGAGAUAUGAAUAUGCCAUUGCGUUGUUGACGAAUUUGAAGACCUAAGAAGAAUUUCAACUCUCCCAUCAUAGACAUUUGAUAUUCUUCACUCAUCAUAUAGGCAAAUUCAUCACUAUAACAUUGGUCAGUACAGCCAAAGAUAAUAUCAUCAACAUAUAUUUGGCACACAAACAAUUCACCAUCAUAAGAUUUAGUGAAAAGAGUAGGGUCGAGUGAACCAGGUUUGAAGCCUCUCUUCAUGAAGAAUUCCUUCAAGGUAUCAUACCAUGCCCGAGGGGCCUGCUUGAGGCCAUAGAGGGCCUUGUUGAGUCUGAAGACUUUGUCAGGAUUCUUUGAAUCUUCAAAACCUGGGGGUUGAGCAACAUAUACUUCUUCCUCAAGCUUACCAUUGAGGAAUGCACUUUUCACAUCCAUUUGAUAUAAAGUGAUAUCAUGAUGGUUAGCAUAAGCAAGUAAUAUGCGAAUAGCCUCAAGUCUAGCAACAGGUGCAAAAGUUUCAUCGAAAUCAAUUCCUUCAACUUGUGUGUAGCCUUGAGCUACAAGUCGUGCCUUAUUUCUCACCACAAGGCCAUUUUCAUCUUGCUUGUUGCGGUAGAUCCACUUUGUGCCAAUGAUAUUGUGCUUGCGAGGAUCUGGACGUUUGACCAGUUCCCAGACGUUGUUGAGCUCGAACUGAUGUAAUUCUUCUUACAUGGCCUGAAUCCACUCAGGUUCCAGAAAUGCUUCAUCUAUCUUAGUGGGCUCUGUGAUAGAGACAAAAGCAUAGUGCCCACAAAAGUUAGAUAAAUGUGAAGCUUUUGAGCGUGUGAGAGGACCUGGCGCUUUGAUGUUAUUGAUGAUCUUUUCAACUUGGACUUGUUUUGCAAUGCGAGGAUGAGCUGGUUGUCGUUGAGAAAUUUGAUCAGCAUUCUCUUCAGCACCAUUUUCUUCAGUGUUUUCUUCAGUAGGAAUGACAUCCUCAGUAGCCUUGAACUUGAUAGUUUCCUCAGGUGCUGGUUCAUCUAUCACAGUAGGUAGGUGCUCUCUUUGUGAGCCAUUAGUUUCAUCGAACCGCACAUCUACAGUUUCAACAACCUUGUGAAGAACAUUGUUGAAGACCCUGUAGGUGUGCGAGUCCUUUCCGUAACUAAGCAUAAAACCUUCAUGUGCUUUCGGUGCAAAUUUUGAGUUGUGAUGAGGAUCUCUAAUCCAACAUUUAGCACCGAAGACUUUGAAAUAACUUACAUUGGGUUUCUUAUCAGUGAGGAGUUCAUAGGCAGUCUUCUUGAAGAAUUUGUGAAGAUAUACUCUGUUGAUGAUGUGGCACGCAGUAUCGAUUGCCUCAGUCCAGAAAUGACGAGGCAUUUUGUAUUCAUCAAGCAUUGUGCGAGCCAUCUCAGCAAGAGUCAUGUUCUUGCGCUCCACGACGCCGUUCUGCUGAGGAGUAUAAGGAGCAGAUAACUCAUGAGUAAUACCAAGUUCAUCAAGAUAGUCAUCUAGACCAGAAUUCUUGAACUCAGUUCCAUUGUCACUUCUGAUAUGCUUGAUCUUCACACCAAAAUUGGUUGAAGCCCUCGAGGAAAAUCAUUUGAAGACUUCCUGCACUUCAUGUUUGUAAGUAACAAGGUGUACCCAUGUGUAACGAGAGUAAUCAUCAACAAUAACAAAGCCAUAUUGAGAUGCUUCAUUUGAAACAGCAGAAUAAUGAUUAGGACCGAAGAGAUCCAUGUGAAGCAAUUCAAAUGGGCGAGUAGUGGUCAUGAUAGUCUUCGCUGGAUGCUUGGCCUUUGUCAUCUUCCGAGCUUCACAGGCUCCGCAUAGGUGAUCCUUGAGGAAUUUGACAUUCUCGAUGCCAAUUCCUCAUGCCUGCAUGAUCAAGUCGUCGAUGCCAGAGCCAGCCUUCUGAAGCUUUUGCAAGUAGGCACACGGCUGGUUGUGGUCCUGUAGAGAAAUCAACAAUAUACAAGUCUCCUCUCUUAAAGCCUUCGAAGACUUUGGAAUUGUCAGCUUCCAUAACCACAACACAACGAUACUUGCCAAAGACAACAACCAUAUCAAGAUCAUAAAGCAUUGAGACAGACAUAAGGUUGUAUCCUAAGGACUCGACAAGCAUGACUUUGUCCAUGUGUCUAUCCUUUGUGAUCGCAACCUUACCUAGACCCAAUACCUGACUUUUGCCUUUGUCGGCAAAGAUGAUAUGCUUCAGAUGCGACGGAGAUAAUGGAGCAUCCAUCAAUAGAUUCUUGUCACCAGUCAUGUGAUUUGUACAUCCACUAUCGAGGACCCACUCAGUGGCUUUGGGUUGAUCGUCCUGCAGAUGAAUUAGUGCAGCUUACAAACUCAUAUACUUCAUCAGUGAAGAAUAUGACAUCCAUUCAUCAGAUCAAUUUCAUCAAGCAACAGAACAGAUAAAGCAGUAUGAGGACGUGAGAAAGGAAAGUUCAUUUCUUCAUGAUUAGCUUGCGUCCUAUCAGGCAUACUCAGGUCUCUGGCAAAUUCUUCAGACGAUUAUGUACGUCUGGAGACCUGACCCUGCAGAAGAGAUUAGUUCUUUUUCUUCACCACCCACAUCUGAAGGGGUGGCAAAGAGUUCAUCACUCUGCGAGCUCCAUACGAGAAGGAUGGCAUAGAAGCCAGUCCAUUUCGUUUCACAUAAGAGGGGUUAGAGUAAGCAUAAGAGUAAGCAGAGAAAUUCUUCGAGGACUUAUGGACAUAAUGAUUUGAAGAAUAAUGCACAUAUCCAUAAUCCUUAGAUCUUCCCUGCGAAAUAGACGGGUUAGCACGAUGAUGUUCAUAUGAGGACUUUGAUCCUUUUGAGGAAUAUGAUCCAUGUGAAGAGUUUGGUCCGUAUGAGGACUUGGAUCCAUAUGAAGAAUUUGAUCUGGGGUUCCUAUUCUUCACAGGUGGCAUCAUGAUGACAUUCACCUGAAGAUUUUCAAGGCAUCUUUUGGGAACCCAGAUUUUCUUCAUAGGGGAACCGUUCCUGCAGUUAGUGCCAACAUAUCUAGCAAAUACUUCAUCAUUCUGAUUUUUGAACAGUUUAUAGUUGGAGUCAAAUGACUCAUCAUCAGAACGAGGAGAUUCACAUGCAAAUCCAGAUAAGUUAGAUGGAUCAACUGGAGGUCCCUUUGCAGCAACCCAUGUAGUUUUGGGGUACUGCUCAGGCUUCCAAUAUGUACCAUCAGCAUUGAGUUUCCUCUCAAAAGCAAUACCCUCUUUCCUAGGGUUCCUGUUGAGGAUCUGCUUUUUAAGCACAUCACAAAGAGUCUGAUGCCCUUUGAGGCUUUUGUACAUGCCUGUCAUGUACAAUUUCUUCAGCCCUGCAUUGUCAGUGAUACUAGCAAUGUCCUCAGAUGAGGAAUUAGUGAUAGCAGAGGCAUGUGAAGAAUUUGAAACAUUAGCAGCAUUUGAACAUUCAGGUGAAGAAUUAGCAGAUUCACGUUCAAUGCACUUCAAGCAUGGAGGAACAAAUUCUUCCUGAGAAGCGUUGAUUUGUUGAGCAAAUAAUGAAUCGUGCUCCUUCUGAAGGUCUUCAUAACUCACUCUUAGCUUCUCAAGAUCCUGCUUUCUUUGAAGAAAUUUAUAAGAAAGCUUCUGAUGAUCGGAUAAGAGAGUGUUAUGAUGAUCUUGAAGGGUGUCAUACUUGGUAUGAAGUAUGUGAAGACUUUCAGCCAAAGCUUUUGACUGAUCCAUUUCUUCACCCAACAUAUCAUCGCUCUUAUUUAGCAUGUAAUGAACUAUUUCCAAAGCUCUUUCUUGUUUAGUGGCAAGGGAAGCAAGUUUGACAUAGCUGGGUCCAAAUUCAUCACCAGAUUCAUCAUCACUAGACUCGGGUAGGUAGCAUUCAGUUACCUUAGCAUCUUUUGCCAUAAGGCAUGAUGCAGAAGAUGAUGAUUCUGGUUCGAAUGUCAUCACUUUGAGAGAUUCCUUAAAGUCCUCAAACCAAGGAUCAUGACAGGUUCGAUGACCUUCAUAGACCUCAGAGAGACGGUCCCAGAUAAGCUUCGCAUGAUCGAGAUGCAUGAUAUUCCUGAACUGAUUUUGAGACAGACAGGAGCAGAUGACGUCCUUCGCCGUGAGGUUGAGAAGAGUGUACUUGAGAAUGUCAUUUGCUUCCCCCAUAUUGCACAGAUCGGUCAGACAAAUCUCAGUGACGGUCCACAGCUCGUUGUUCAUUGCCAUGAGGCGCUUCUUCAUCAUGGCCUUCCAUUUGGGAUACCCAUGACCGUCAAAAAUGGAGCAUGUCACUUUCUUCAUACCUGCGGUCGACAUAACUAAAACUCCAGGCGGUUAAACCAAAAUCACACAGAACAAGGGAGCACCUCGCUCUGAUACCAAUUGAAAGUGCGUUAUAUCGACUAGAGGGGGGUGAAUAGGCGAUUUUUAUGAAAUUCUUCACUGAGGAAUUUGCCGGUGAGGAAAUUCCUUAGCGAAGAACUACUAGCAGCGGAAUAAGUACUCAAAAGUAAACAUAACAGAAUACAAGCAUAGUCAUCAUGAUGAAAUGAAGACAAACACAGAGUACAGGAAGCAUAAGCACAGGAUAACACAGGAUGAAGACAAACAGACUGAAGAAAUUGAACUAAGGAAAUUGAGAAAGUCUUCAGUCAAAGUCUUCAAACACAUAUAUGAACAAACACACAACACAGUUAUGAGGAAAUGAAAGAGUUGAGGGAAUAGAACCAGUAAGCUUGGUGAAAACAAUGAUUUGGUAGACCAGUUCCAACUGCUGUCUCAGUUGUACGUCUGGUUGGAGCGGUUGAGUAUUUAAACUCGAGGACACACAGUCCUGGACACCCAGUCCUGAACACGCAGCUCAGGACACCCAGUCUUCGCCGUAUUUUCUUUGAACUAAGGUCACACAGACCUCGUCCAAUCACUCGUGGUAAGUCUUCAGGUGACUUCCGAACCUUCACAGACUUGGUCACUCGGUGAUCCACAAUUCCUCUUGGAUGCUCUAGACCAUGACGCCUAACCGUCUGGAAGAAGCACAGUCUUCAAAGGUAACAAGCGUCGGAUCCACGCAGGAUCAAUCUCUUCAGUGAUGCUCAAUCACUUGGGGUUUGUAGGUGUUUGGGUUUGGAUUUUUCCUCACUUGAUGAUUUUCUCUCAAAGUCCUCGGAGGAUGGGUUGCUCUCAAAUGGCAAGUGUCAGUUUCUCUCGGAGCAGCCAACCAGCUAGUGGUUGUAGGGGGCGGCUAUUUAUAGCCUAGGAAGCAGCCCGACAUGAUAAGACAUAAAUGCCCUUCAAUGAUAUGACCGUUAGGUGGAUAGAUAUUUUGGGACAGCUGGCGCAUAGCACGGCAACGGUCGGAAUUUUGAGUAGCAAAAUCCUCAGGGCUAUCAUGUUCCUCACUGUGUAGACAAUCCACACUGGCGAAUUUCUAACUCCUCAGUCAGAACAAAUUCCUCAGAGACCAGAAGAACUUCGUCUCUGUCACUGAAGAAUAUGACUGGACUGUAUGAGAUUUCCAAUGGCUUCACUCGAAGGGAUUGGUAGGUGUAGGAUUUUGAGUUGAGCAUCACAUGGAAAUUUUUCCUUAGUAUUUCCUCGACCCCCUUUAACAGUACGGUGUUUCCUAUGACUCAAGAAAGAGAAAAUGAAACUACGAAAACAAAAGUCUUCACGCUUCAUGUUCCUCGAAUGAAUAUCAAGUCUUCAAGGUCACACCAAUUUCUUCACUUUCAAAGUCUUCAAAAAGCCAAAGUCUUCAGUCGAAGAACUUUAUUUUUAGGGGUCGGCUUUCUCUGUAAAUAUCAAACUCCUCAUAGACUUAUAGACCUGUGUACACUCACAAAUGCAUUAGUCCCUUAACCUAUAAGUCUUCAAUACACCAAAAUCACUAAGGGGCACUAGAUGCACUUACAGAUCUGCUCUUCGCCGGAGUUGUCCGACCCGUCGCUCCCUCUGAAGCCGCUUCCUUAAGAUGCGGGUGCGGAUUGCUUCCUCCUCUCAAGCAGUGUGUGCCGCCGCAUCUAUCGUCGUCAUGUCGGUAGCAAGGCGGGCCUCGGCCACUCUCAUCCUUUCCUUCCCACGCGCGGGCACACCGGCCCCGCUAGCACUCGUACUCCAGCGGACCGGUGAUGGGGAAAGGGAGAUUGGAAGGCUCCCGGGAGGAUCCGAGCGCCCGAUGUGCCGACGCAAUGGUCUCGCGCCGGACAGAUCCCACCGUCGGUUGGGUCCGGUCCUCCCGGGAGUGACGGAGGGCAAUGCGGACGGCCAUAGUCUCCUCCAGCCCGCACGAGACGACACCCCAGUCGGCGGAUCUGGACUGGUUGGAGUCAGAUUCGCAGCCUGCCAUGGUGGGGAAGGCUGGAGAUCGCCGGACGGAAGCUUUGGGGCGGAGUGGAGUGAAGUGGACUGAAGUGAAGUGGCUAGGGUUUUUUUUCCAUGGAGCGGAUGGGGACGGAUAUAUGUGGGGUCAGAUGGACCAGCAUGGAUCAGGUCGACGUGGCGGACGCGCCUGGCGCCCCCGGGCCACCCCAUAUCCGCCCCAGAUUUGGGUUGGAUACGAGGGGUGUCCGUUAGCUCGAGCGUUUGAGGCCGGUUUGAGGCGCCCGUCUGGAUCGCUUUUUUUUACUGGGCUGUCCGUCCGGACCACCCCAUAUCCACCCUAGCUUUGAGCUGGACAUGAGGGGUGUCAGUCAGCCCGGACGUUUGAGGCCGGUUUGAGGAGCUCAUCUGGAUUGCUUUUCUUUUGACCGGUCAUUGACUAGGCCGUCCGCCCAAACCACCCCAUAUCCAUUCUAAAGUUGGGUUGGAUAUGAGGGGUGCCGGCCAGCCUGGACGUUUGAGAUUGGUCNNNNNNNNNNNNNNNNNNNNNNNNNNNNNNNNNNNNNNNNNNNNNNNNNNNNNNNNNNNNNNNNNNNNNNNNNNNNNNNNNNNNNNNNNNNNNNNNNNNNNNNNNNNNNNNNNNNNNNNNNNNNNNNNNNNNNNNNNNNNNNNNNNNNNNNNNNNNNNNNNNNNNNNNNNNNNNNNNNNNNNNNNNNNNNNNNNNNNNNNNNNNNNNNNNNNNNNNNNNNNNNNNNNNNNNNNNNNNNNNNNNNNNNNNNNNNNNNNNNNNNNNNNNNNNNNNNNNNNNNNNNNNNNNNNNNNNNNNNNNNNNNNNNNNNNNNNNNUGAGAUUGGUCUGAGGAGCCUGUCUGGAUCGUUUUUUUUUUUUUUGACCGGGCCAUCCGUCCGAACCACCCCAUAUCUGCCCCAGAUUUGGGCUGGAUAGAAGGGAUGCCGGUGAGCGUCGGCGUUUGAGGCCAGUUUGAGACGUCUGUCUGGAUUGGGUUUUUUUUACCGGUCAGUGACCAGGCGGUAGACCGAGGUGUUGAGGCGCCCGGCUCUAUAUGCUCUUAGUAUACGUGUUUUCUUUCUCCCCACAUAACACUUCAGAUUCUUUAACGAGCUAAGUGGUGCUUACUGGCCGUGAAUUCUGCACUGUCUAGCCUAAAAUGACAUAAAUUGACUUUUUUUUCAUAUGGCUCAACGGCAAUUGAACCAGGUGCCCCGCUUCAGCAACCGUGGAAACGCAGGCAGCCAGGAUGUCCGCAGCCACGCCUUCCACAUGAUGCAAGUGUUUGUAUCGUUUCCUAUUUCCAAUAGCUUGGGGAAGGGGAAUAUUACUGUCUAAACCAUUUUUUGCCUUCCCUAACAUACAAGAAAAUUUGGUCAUCAAGAGACCAUGGAAUGCCCCUUGCACAGCAUUUCCAGUUGAUCACGUUGUUUCGGGAUGGAAAACAUACUUUGCACAUGAAAUCAACACAAGAGAUAGCAAUUCAGAAGACACGGUGACAAACUAUGCCAAGACAAGUCAAUACUACAAUGUAUCAAGUCUGUCGGAGUGGCGAGUACAGAGUACAGAGCGGACAUAGUAAAGCCAUGAUGGGCAAACAAACAGCGCCACGGACAAUUUAACACCCACGAAAACAAUCUGAUAGCUAGCUCUUUGACAGAGAGCUUUAUCUUUCCAAAACACCCACAUUAUCUGUCAAGACUAUAUAGUUUAUAAUACGUAAAGGCAGUAUUAGUCCGAAUAUCCAGCUUAUCCAGAUCCAUAGAAGCCCCUGCCGAGAUGCUUCAAGCCUAUAUAUCAGGAAAUUACACACAGGCGGUUAGUUGCAGAAACCAAUCCAAAAAGACACCAAAGAGAGUAAACACGGAG